This 65850-nucleotide long non-coding RNA is filed under the name Brachypodium distachyon (stiff brome). Its description in RNAcentral is "long non-coding RNA (BDIS_LNC004936)". The stretch from base 33178 to 33289 matches the Rfam family "MIR1120/MIR1122 microRNA precursor family". The record is from RNAcentral. Lineage: Eukaryota; Viridiplantae; Streptophyta; Magnoliopsida; Poales; Poaceae.
CCGCCGACGCUGGUCGGGCGGCCAUGGCGGCCGCCGCGCUCGCGAGGAAUUAAUCCGUAGGCCGCCCGUUCUCGCAAGGGAAGAAGAAGAAGGAGAACCCCCACGCUUUAAUUUCUUGCAGGAAAGAAAGUAAGGAAGGAAGAAAUCAUAUUGCUCGGAUUUUGUGGAAGAGGAAGAAGGAUUUUUGUCAUCUGUGUGUUGGGUUCCAGAUAAUUCUUGUUGCUUGCGGUGAAUUUUGGACAUGCUUUUCCGUAAGAUUAAAAUGAAAAUUGCUCACUUGAUAAUCAUCAAAUCGCAGUUGCUAACAAUACCAUGCUUCUCACUUGAUGCUUGCUAAAGAGUUUUUUUUUUCUAGAGGUGUAUAAAUCGUAAAUUCAUGAUUUGUUAGAUCGUAACUUAGUUAUCGCGGCUGCAGACGCUUUAGAUAAUAUUUGCCCCGGCCCCGCGGGAUCACCAGUCGGGCGUCAGCCAUGCCGCUUCGAUGUAGUGCAGAGGAAGUGCCGGCGGAUGCAGCAGGUGGCACAAAUGAGGAGGGCCCGAAGUAAUGUGCCAGAAAAUUUUGCCGAUCGGUUCGUCCAGUAUUUUACGAUUUUAAUCCAUCUCAAAACAAGCGUGUACGGUUCAAAAGUAGCAUAAAAAACGAAAAAUAACAUAUCAUUUGUAACCAUCACAUUUAAAAUGGCUUAUCACAAGGCAGUUCAUCUAAAUUAAUUUCUCUCUGAACGCAAGACUGCAACAGACUAGCAUUAGUAGAAUCCGAUUGCUUGUGUCUAACGGGUGGCCUUGAAGUGCCAUAAAUAGCGUGCGAUUUGGCCGCUAUAGCGGCACGGAAGCCUCGGUGCGACGCUAUGACAAUUGCCACGAAAUCAACGUUAAUCCCUAAUUUUGCAUUAAUUCUUCAUUAUAUAACAGAUAAAGUUAGAUAUGGCGGCCGCUAUUGCGGCCGGAGAAUGCUGCAGCAAAAUGAUUUAGCGUGUGACUUAAAACCUUGCUGCAUCAUUAUCUUAAUCUAACGAUCGUUUCUUUUUCUCAUAAUACCGUUCCGUGGCCUAGAUCAAUCAAUCAAUCAAAGUACAAAGAAAAACCAAUCAAAACAUUAGGGAUUACGCUAGACACUAGACAUGGCUUAUAAUUGAGGGAGAUCAGGUGCUCACGUACCUGAAUUUUCAGAGCUUGGCAAGUAGACGGCUAGUCAGAUUGUCGCUGCAGUCGCCGGCGUCCGGCGUCUGUGUGAUGGACGAUGUGAGACGACAGAGACGAAGGAAUUACGGGAUUCAUAGUUCGGCCGAGUAACUAUGUGUCUAUUUCUACGUUACCGGCAAAAGUUAUUGGUCUAGAGAGCACCCAAUGCCUCUAUGGCAGCUCUGCCCUGGGGUCGGAUGGCCCAUCAUGGGCGUCCAUCAACUGGCCGUGAGAGGGUUGGGGCUGGGCCAUGUGACCGUUAGGGCAUCUCCAAGGAAAACCCUCAAAUCCUUCCUAUUUGUCCAAAUCUGUCCAUACGGGGAUCCAAGAGCAAAAUAUACAACCCAAUGUGAACCUCCAUUUGUUUAAAAGAGGUCCACACUCUCAAUUUCUUCCCCAAAUUUGGGGAAAGUAUGGGGACUCACCAUUUGUGCAAAACUCAUCCAAAUCUUGUCCACAUGUCUUUUUGGCCUACAUGUCAAAAACUCAUGAAGAGAUAAAUGAGGAGUUAUCAUUGGAUAACUUGAUAUUUUUUACACCCCCAUUUGUGCAAAGACCCCUCAAAUGGAUAAAUGGGGACUCACCCUUGGAGAUGCCCUUAUCCAACAAAUGAAUACGGGCUGAGCAGCUAUCCCUGUCGAUUCCCCUAAAAAAAAUGCUAUCCCUGUUGGCUGACACACAUUUCUUGUCGGGAAAACGCAUUUUCCUGUCAGUUCUCGGCCGAUAAGGAUAUUCGUGUAUGUAUGCGGUAGUGGGGGCAGCCUGGAACCUUUCCAUCACAUUAGCAAUCAGAAACAAUUUGUAGGAUACGAGGAAGCACCUUUACAUCAUGCAGAUAAAUUACAAAGAAUCAUAUCAUUCGGAUAAAGGAAUGCUGACUAAAUGGAUGGUUCAAACUUUAAAAUAUACUCCCUCCGUUUUGAAAUAACCGACGUGGAUUUGUAUAGAUUUUUAUAAGAAUCCACAUCAUUUAUUUUGGGACGGAGGGAGUAUAUGGCUUUGAACCAUUCGGACAGCUACACGGAAGAACUUAGUAGUCACUUUAUAAAUGUCUUUCAGGAUAAAUUGUAAACAUUUUAUUUAUUUCUACAGCAAAUUACUGUUGUGCUGCUCUCGUUAGCUUAAAAUACAUGUGAGAAUAUAAGGAUAGAUCUUUAAGCAAACAUAUUCCCGAUCGAGCCUACAAUUGUACAUGCGGCACCUCACAUAACGUGAAGCUUUUAAUAGGUCAUCUGGGCCGAAGCUUUAAUGGGGGGUGGGGGGGGGGGGGUUUGGGGGGGGGUUUAAUUAUUUUUUUGACCGAAAACUGUAGGAGAGACUCCGACAGUAUAUAGAAACAUAUAUAUAAAGAAAAGGAUAUUUACAAACACAGAAGCAGAUUACAGGGCGGGACACCACAGAAGGAGUAAAAAGGAAAAGGACUUACUCAGGGGACCGAGGCGAGGGAGACCAACCAGGCCCUCAGCGCCUCUUUCGCCCCGACACUAAACCUACAACUCUGAGCUCUGAUACAAAGCGAGAACUUGGCCAACCAGCCAGCCACAAAAGGGACAGAAUUAUUGAAGAUACGAUCAUUCCUACACUUCCAAAGUUCCCAGGCUGCUGAGCAAAAAAUUUCUUUGUGAAUGAGGGAAGGCACUGAGGUUCUGGCGACGGCCACUCUGAGACUAAUGUCCGGAUUGAUGCCCAACCCAUUCCAGCUAAUCCCCAAUUUAAGCCAACACUCACGGCUGAAGCUGCAGUCAAAGAACAGGUGCUGGCAGGUUUCCCUUUGAGAGGCAGAGCAGAGGACACAUUCAAGAAGUCCAUCUCUGUUGCAAUUCCUGCGAUCCAUCAUGUCUCUGGUGUUGAGCCGAUCCCUCAUCAAAAGCCAGACAAAACCCUUGAUCUUGGAUACACAUCUAUUCUUCCAAAGCCAGGUGGUACGUUGAUCAUUCAGUAAACUUGGGAAGCAGGACAGGUAAUAAUGCUUAGAAGAGAAGGAUCCAAUACACCAUCUGGUCACACAAAGGUCUUCCUCGUUCUGGUCCAAGAUGAGCUCAUCAACGAUGAGGUUUAUGGACAUGAGCUACUCGAACGCUAGAUUGGACAACGGGAGAGCAAACAGGUCAAAGCGAUCAGGAGAUUGCCAAAAGUUUCUCAGGUUGAUCUCCUUGUUAACAGCAAAAGAAAAGGCCCGAGGGAACCUUUCACGGAAGGGGAUUCCGUCCCAACUAUCCAUCCAGAAGGAGAAGGAGGCUCCAUUGCCCGGCAGACCCUUAACAAUUUCCUUGAAAUUGGGGAUGAGAGCAGCGAGAUCCCGUCACCAGAAGGAACCAACAGAAUCCAGCGAUGAAGGAACGGAGUCGGCAUAGUAGGACUUCCAGAUGAGUUUGACCCAGGGCAGGUUCUCCUGAUUGUAAAAUUUGUGAAGAAAUUUAACCAUUUGAGCCUGAUUGAAUACAGCGAGAUUAAGGACCCCCAGGCCACCUUUAGAUUUAGGCAGGCAAACUUUAUCCCAGGCCGCAAGCGCUUUACAUCUGCCAGUGACUUCCGAUUUGCUCCAUAGCGCGAUACGGCGACGCUUGUCCACUGCCUACAGAAAGCCCUCCUGUACCUUGAAGACGCUGAGGGCAAACACAGGGAGCGAUGAAAAUACUGACUUGACAACCUGCAGGCGUCCCCCGAAAGAGAGGAAAGAAGCACAAGAAGCCAGACGCUGAUCAAUUCGGUCAAUAACGGGCAUAAGAUCCCUAAUCUUGGGCCUGGAGGUACCGACAGGAAGCCCAAGGUAGGUGAAGGGGAACUUUCCCACCGCACAACCCAAAGUGCCAGCCAGAUUCUGAGCCUUUUGCUCCGAGACAUUGAUCGGAAUAAGGCAGGAUUUAGCAAAAUUCACUCUAAGACCAGUGGCUUGGUAAAAGGAUUCCAGAAGAGCCUUGAGACAGACGAGUUGCAGAAUUGAGGCUUGCAUGAUGAUCAAAGUAUCGCCAGCGUAUUGAAUGAUUGGGAAGUGCACAUCACCAUUGGGGAUUGGGAGUCCCAGCACUCCAAGCUGGAAGACUCUGUUGACAAUAAUCUAGAGAAGAUCAGCAGCCAGCACAAAGAGAAGAGGGGAAAGAGGGUCCCCCUAUCUCACUCCCCGCCGACAAAAAAUCUGUUUGCCAGGAACACCAUUGAGAAGAACCGCAGAAGAACCAGAUGCGAGGAUGUUCUCAAUUCAACCCAGCCAGGCCUCAUCAAAACCCAUAUGACGCAGGGGGGUUUAAUUCCUUUAAAGAUUAAUUAAAGAGUACGAAGUACCCUAAUAUAUAGAGUAAAGUAUGAAGCUGUAAAGUAGAAAUAUUCAGAGGCCUCCUUGUUCAGUUUUUGUGUAUCGGUGCUAGGCCUCCCUUAUAAUAAUGCUGCGCAGCAGCCUAUACUUCUUAAACAAUUAACAGUUGCUCCAAGUAUCUUACUUUAAAAAAAGUAUAUACAAUUGCUCCAAGUAGCUCCAGCAGAUACAAUUCCUACAAGUAGGUUUUCCUGUUAAGCCAAAAUCUCUUGCUGCACAGAUGUUUUAUUUCUCAUGUGCCAUGUGUUAUUUUGUUUUCGCUGCAGAAGUUGGAAAUAUACAUCCUGCUGGCUGUGAGGAUUCACUGGGAAUUUUUCGAGAGAUGGCUAUGAGGAUUCACUGAGAAUUCGAGAGACUGAUCCGCUGAGAAAGAGAUUGACAUCUAGAGGGAGAUUCAAAUUCAAGCUACCAAGUUGAAUAGCUGCUCAAGUUGAUAUAGAAACAAGAAAACUGGAGAAUCAGAGGGAAAAGGUGUUUAUUAGUCCUCCCUUUGGUUUAUGUUCUUUAUACACAUCAACUGAACAAGUAUUGCAUCCCCACACAUGCUAUAGUGGUGCGACUGUUUUACUGUUAGAAACUGUUAAUUGUUUAAGGAAUAUCAUGCUGUGUCACUUUGUGUUGUCAAAAGGUGUUCAAUUGAUUUCAGUGUCCUAAAAUUUCUAGAUGCUGAAAUCAACACCUGUUCGUAUCUCCUACAUAUCUGGCAGCCAUCUUUUUUCGUCCUUGUUUUCUCCUAAUAGAUGCAUCCUGCCAGUUUAUCUUCUGGCUGUCAGCUAACUUGCGCAGUCUGAAACUCAGAACUAUGAUAAUCUUGAUUCACAUUGAUGUUUAUGAUGCAUGGUUCCUUAGGUCGUUUGUGCUAUAAAGUGAGGAGCUUGCUAAACCUUUUGCUUACAUAGUAGCCUGUAGCAAAAGUGAUAUUUUAAGAGGAUGCUGACCAAUGUGUAGGGAAAUUGGUUACUUGUAUCCACUAAACUUGGCCUUUGCCUUCUCUUUUGUUUAUUACGUUCUCAGUGUAUUUGGGCCGGUCAUUACAAGGAACAUGUUGUGAACAAGUGCACCCUUUCUUGUUUAUUUUUCGGGGAAAGCGCACCCUUUUACAAUGAGACAUGUUGUGAAUAAGUGCACUCUUUCUUGUUGACCCUGUGAUAAUGUGGUUGAUACAGCGCAAGGACUAGAUGCUGAAAGAGGGGAUCAACAUGCCCGUUGCCCAUUUGAUUUGUGCGCCGACAUCCCCUCGUCCUAAAAAGUCAAACCAUUUGCGUCCUGUGUCCACGCUCGGCAACCGGUAUCUCCUUUUUUUUAAUCAAGUGAAAACUCUUGUUCAGUGUAAGCUUGCAAAUUAUUUUUAUAAGCUGUUAGGUAAAAAACACACGGCUCGGAUCAAAGUUGGAGAUUCCACCCAUCGCUUAAACAAACUUUUGCACAUAGUCCCUUACCAUUGAGUUUGAGUUUAAAUGGUUAGUGAGAUUUUAACUUUGAUCUGAGCCAUGGAUUCAAUGACCUAGGAGAAUAGUUUUCAAGUUUGCACCGAACGUUCAUAUAUCCUUUUUUCGUCGGUAUAGGGAAAACUUUCCCUGCUGGGCACAGCCCCCAUGGCGUCACCGCAGCGGGCCAGACGGGCGAGAAGGAGAUGAAGACGCCACAGAUCAACACGACAAUGAGGUGCACGUGAGCAUGCUGUCCAUGCCGACUGGCUUCUUGUGCUACAUAUCGUGCAGUUUCUCUUGGCUAUCUUCUUGAAUUUGCAUGUUUAGUUGCAAGAGUUUACCACAUUGUGGUUUGCAAGCAUUAUGCUAACAUUGAGCUCCGGCAUUCAUCAUUAAUAAAAAGGCCCUAUAGGCUUUUUAUUAAUUUUCCCAAAUCACAGAACGAGUAUAUAGUUUUGAAUUUUCCCAAAUCACAGAACCAACUUGCAAUUUAUGGGGAGAUAUAUAUUUUUAAAGAGAAUCAUCAUAUUUAAAUAGGGUCCUAACAAAUUUGAUCAAAUUUACAAAGUUUUGUUCCAGUCGAGUUAUAAGUACGAAAUAAAAAGAACAGAUGGAGUAACAUUUACAUAUAGUACCGAGCGACCGGUGUUCAGCUUGUCAAAAUCUCUGACACACCUGGGUUGGAUUUUCAUAUCAACAACCACACGAUUGGCUAUCUACCUCACUCUACCAACAUACCGAAAAAUGUAUUGAAUUUCUAUGCAUGACUGCUACUAAUAUGGUGUGGCUACAGUUACAGAAAAUCGCCAGACUCCUCCUUGCUGUGUACAUGCUACUCUAGAUCAUGUUUUAACUUUGCUCACACGCAGCCAGAUCAUGCUUCAGCUUGCUGACACAUGCAGUCGGGCAUCGGUAGGUUGUAUAUUGAUCCAUCCUGUUUUCUGAGCCCCAAACCUUUCGAUUCACUGUGGCGACGGAUGUCCUGCAUGUGGUGCCUGAACCGAUACCACCUACAAGCAAAACAAACAAGUUGAAUAUAGUUCCUCAACAAAGUGGUGACUCAAUGCAAAGAGAUCAGAGGUGUUUGAUUGAGACUCGAUGAACAUGCUAUUGUUGAGCUAGAUUUAAAUGUAUUUAAGUAUUGUCAACCAACACUAGAUAAAAUAUACUAGGAUUGUCAAUGAGCAGAACCAUUUUCUGUUUAUCAAAGCGGACAAGGUAACUCAAAACUGACCCGAUAUCUGGGUUGUCAAAGAGUAGCACCAUUUUCCGUUUAUCUGGUUUUAUUGUCUUUGCAUGUCCCCCAUACAGAUAACGCCUGUGCCCCAUCAGAAAGUGAGGGAAAUUGGUUCCUUGAGUAGUUACAAAGGCUUCGCUCUGUAAACAGACGGUGUAGUCCAAUGCUGCCAGUCUAGAUGAAUGCCCCUGGAUAGCAUAGGAAAGUGAAUCGAAGCUCGAAGGUAGUCCAACAUGGAAAUAAGAAAAAGCUCUGAUCCAACUGUUACCCUCAAACUGAACAAGGGUUCCAGAUGCUUGCUGUAAUGCAAAUGAGCUAAUGAAAGAAUGCAUCCUUUCUAACAUUGAUGAAAAAAUGGAGUAACUAACGGAGGUUGGGAAUACCAUGAACUGUGCAAGCUCCUCAGGUGAAGUGAGUGUUUCCUUUGUUUGCAGAAGUGGAAAUAACUGCCGAAGAGAACAUAUACUUUUUAGCAUUGUAUAUUUUACCGGAGGCGACAUAGAGGGAGGUAGUAUUAUCGAAUCCCAUUCCUCGCAGCAUCAUUCCAACCUGCAUAAACUGAACUAGUAAGAACAAAUAAAUUCAUAUUAUCACACAAACAAGAGCUUUAUUUCGCGAUUUCGAGCAAAGCAGCUUAUUGGCAUGUAUCUGAAAUUUGGCAUGAUACAUAGCAAAGCUUUUAACACAAAUUUAGCUAAUCACUCCACUAAAAUACAUAUAAACAUGCUAAGAUAUUCUAGAAAUGAUCUGUCAAGUGAUAUUUUGGCACUCCUUAUUGUGUCUGCCAUAUAACUCCCUACAUGAUGCUAUUUUGCACGGCUGCAGAACAUAGUGCUAUUUGGACUGUCCAACUGUAUUCUCCAGCAGAAGACAGACUGACGAACACGGCAUGAACUCAAAAAAAAAGCAGACUAAGGCUACCUUGCUACCGCGGUGGCAUUUCAAAGCACUUAUUUAUCCCUACUCUUGGAUGUAACAAUUAGUUAAAAGCAUUUUUUAGAUCUGUAACAACAAAAUCUUAUUAAAAUUAGUAAAUAUCCACCGAACUGGCCCUAAGAAGUGUUGCAACAAGAACAUACUGAAAACAAUGGCAGGGAACUAACAUCUCAACCUCUAGAGGAGUUAAAGGGCAUCUCCCAUUCCUCCGGUUGGCCUCAGGAUUUAUUACUCGCCCAGGUCGGUGAAACUUCCCUCUCCAACUCCGUUCACGAGCAUUUUCCAUGGCAAUAUUCUCCUUCAAGUCACCAUCAUAUAUACAGCACGAGAAAGCUACCAUGUCCUGAAAUACAGCGCACAUGAUCAUCCUAAAACUUAGUGUAGUGAAGAAGAUCUAGUAACAGCCAUUCGAAGCAGUACGAGAUAUUGUAUUAGAACCUGUUCAAAGCGUAGAUGCACAGAGAUGUACUUCCCACCAGUCAAAUAACUCUUCUUGGUCAUUCGGUCAACCAUAUUAUCUGCAAGAAUUCUUAUGGGUUCAGAAAAUCUCAAUGCCUCAUAGUUUGCCAAACAUCUCAACGCAUUGAUAUUUGAUGGAACUGAAUUGGCCAAUCUAUUUGAAAAAGGAGCAAUACGCACAGCCCUGUUUCAUAGAACAGAAUGAGCAAAGACAUGGUAGUACAUAAAACCUAGAGUUACAAGAAUACGACACUACAUAAAAAAAAGGGACAAGAACACAUACCCUAGCUCCAACAAUUUCGGAAGCACCUUUUCUAAGUAGUAACUGUGAGAUGAAAAGGCUUUGGUUCUCAUAUUCGGUAUGCUGCUAAUAUUAUGGUCAAACUGCACAGAAACAGUUUCAGGAAGUUCUUUCACAACCCUUACAUGUUUUCUGAGUGUCUCAAUAAAAUGGUCUUCAUCAAAGAUGUCACCAAAUCCGCUGAAAGAAAUCAUGCAGGAACCAAAAACAUUAUCCCUCUGAAAAAGUGAUGAGAAAUAAAAGAACUAACAUAUGGCAAAGCAUGAACACACUAGAACAUAUGAACCAAAGCUUUAUCAAAAUAACAACUCCUUAUUCAAUCGAGUAUUUUCAUAUGGAUAAAACUUGUAAAAUAAGAAAUUUUUACAUGAUAAAAGACAAGACCGUUGGCAUACUUUGGACUUUAUUGUGUUACAUGCUUGACAAGGAACAAAACAAGAGUGGUGAGAUGCAUUGUUAAAAUGGAUGUAUAAGAUAAACCACCCAACAGAAACAUAAUUACGUUUCUUUUUCCCACAAAAGAAAAGGAUAUUGAUCCAUUUCACUUAUUUACAGCAGAUAAAACAUAGACGGAAGAAAUAGUUUUCAUAUAAUUGAGAAAUUGCUAACUGAAGUAAAUUUGCAACUUAAGGAUGCAGGCAACAUUAACAAGCUAGUUCUCAAGAAAGUGACACAGGGAAGCAUCUGCUGUUUUUCUGUUUCUCAUCUAUUGGCACUCUACAAAUAAGCAAAUUAUUUACCUAUUGUCACGCCAAACACUAUUCAAAUGAAAAGCUGGGGUGACAAGAGUUGCAUUAAGUAAGCUGGCCACAGCAACAGCAUCACAAAUCUGUAUUGAGACACCAUUGUUAGACUUGGAUAAACACCAAAGAUUAAACAUGUUCUAAAGUGGAAAUCAAGUUAGAGAAGUUAAAAAAAAACUGUGCAGAUCAAGAUCAGCACAAUGUCACAAUGACUUUCAAAUGUAUUGAGCAUUUUCUAGAAGAUACAACAUGCAACAAAACAUUCCAUCAAUUAGGAAUCCAUGGACCAUAAGGACUCAGAGUUCAGAACUUCAGAUAGCUAAUAUAGAACGUUGGAUCAGAUGCUCAUUUAGGAUACACCAGAAAAGGUACUUUGGUACCAAUACAAGUGUUCUUUUAGUAGCGUAUGGACAAUAAAGAUGGCUCUCAGUAAAUAUAUCUAAGUUAGUCCAUUUAAAUUCAGUAUAAGAAGUUGAUCAUGCAACUUACAGAAAUGCGUUGCUGAUUCAGACCACCAUUUGCUUCAAUAAUGAGAAAACCAUUUGAUGGUGGUAACGCUGGAAAGUGUAAUAUGGAGUAUCAAUACAAACUACUUAGCUACUCGUCUGUUACUGCAUAUCAUGAUAGCUAAAGUAGAAUUCAACUGGCUAAUUAUGGUACAGAAACUCAUAAGAAGUAUUUCAAAUUUGCACCUGAUUGUGUCAACCUCUUGCUGAUGCAAGGUACCCAUCGCUUUCCAGAUUUUUUAUAAUGGGGUGUCAUUAACUGCAUAAUAACAAGGCAAAAUCAUAAUACAAACAUGCCAUGAGUGUACUUAUGUAAAGUUUAUAAGAAAACAUUUGAUGAACGCGGUGAUUAAAAGCAUUCAACUUGUAUUGUAAUUGGAUUAUUAUUUAUUAGCACCAUAGUCAUGAUCAACUCCAACUGACAGGUAAAACCUCUUGGACCUUUUAAAUAGCAACUCCCAAGUUGCAGGACAGAUUCUAGGCCUGCCAAAUGAAAGGCUAUAUCACCUUUUUGGCAUAUAUAAACAUGAAACAGGGAGUACAUUAUUUAUAUCAUACAUAUGGGAGAAAACAUAUAUACUUCCAUCUCAAGGUGCCCAAGUAUCUUCAUUGACCUUCAUUAAUCAUUAGUGCAUUAUGUCAAAAUGAUCCAACGAUUGUGUCCUCGCACAAGCAGCCAAAUUGAGGGUGUUUCAGAUUCACCAGGGAUUAGAUUACUAGUAAGCUACUACGUAGAGCAUUUUGCUACGUCCAGCCCCCACAAAACUAGCAAUUCAGUGUUGCAAAACUACAAGAAAUUUAACAACGAUUUACAAUCAAACUGUGGUCAUUCGUUAACACGUGAUCAGAUAACAGGCAAGGCAAAUUUCUCCAACGCACAUGACCGGAAGAAAAUCCACUAGUUUUUAAGCCAGCCCACUAAUCCCGCUAGCUCCAAGAAUGAAUAGAUCCAAUUCCCGCGGAAUAAAGGGCAGGAAACAUCAUCACACACAAGGCACUCACCGGGCCGGGACGCGAGGAGGAGGCGGCGCGCAUGUCCGGCAGGAGGCGCUCGAACACGAGGUGGCUGCGGUACACCGACCCGGGCGGCGCCGCCGCCGGAGCCCGCGCCCGCCUGCCGCGCAUCGCGCCGCCGCCGCCGCCCAGGAAGACCACGAGCAUCGCCGCCGCGUACGCCAGCGCGAGGAGCAGCGCGGCGGCCUGCCGCCGGCGCCCAGACGGCACGCGCCCCUGUCGCCGCGCCGCGGCCUUCGCGGCUUCGCUGCCGCCGCGCAUCGAAGCCGCCGCGGGUGCUAUCACCGCGGAGGAGAGAGCCGGUGAUUAGCAACAGAGGGGAUCGUCGAUCACGCUGAAAAUUAAAAUUUCUGAAAGAUUUGGCAAAAUGGCACUAAAAUUUGCAUUUGACAAAAAUAAUUGGGUAUUCUUACUGGAGGCCCAUUAGGACAUUUCCAUCCAUGACUUCUUACUUAGGCCCAUUAGGACUCUCACCCACUUUGUUUUUACUUGCCCACCACAAUUUUUUAGGACAGUGAAACUGGGCCCCUACACAAAGGCCCAGGUGGUUUUGGUUUUCUGUGGGCUUCCAGAAUUCCGAGUUGACUCAGUUUAGCACCGCCCAUCGUUCUUGCGAAACUUCAUAAGUUGUGCCCAAUAUUAGGCUGUGGGCUCUUUUUUUUCGGAAGGUGCAAAAGGAAGAAAUUAAUUAUGCCCUAUAGAUACACAUGUACAGCUCUACAAUCAGGAACAGAUAAAUUUGCAAGGAAUAAUUACCUUCUUAAUCGCUGCUUUCUUUUGGCUGCAAAAUGUAUAUCCUAUUUUUUCGUGAGAUCUUCUACAUCCAUUCUCUGCUGGGACAGGUUGGCACCGAGCCCAAGACCAGCCCAUUUUCUCCUACUGAUCAGCUUAAUUUGGCGCCAAAUUAAUACCCUGCCUUAUCUUCUGAUGAAUGUUGGGAAGGAAAAUUCCAGAGAAUUAAGAGGGGUCUACUGGAGAUGAUAUGUUGAUUUUCAGAAUUAAGAUUUGCCCUUCAACUAGAGGACCAAAAAUUGGCUAUAAAUUAAAGACUCCGAAAUAUGUAGUACGCGUGUAAUUAUUAUUUUUUAUCAUCCUAUCUACAUUUUUCUAGUAAUUUUGUGAAUGGGGGCCUCUGCUCAAGCAGAACUCAAAACUUAGCCAGAAUUCAAAUGGGGCUUCCGGUCGGGCCCUUUGGUGGCAGAAUUGAAAACCCAGUUUUUUGGCUUCGCGCCAAGAUUUCCUUUUUUUUUAAAUCGAGACCAGAAACAAUGAAAUAGAUCACACAUGCGUCUGACCAGUUCACCCGAGAUCUCAACCGUUAAAAUAAACGAUGCACAAUAUGUUUGAACAUAAACCUUGGUGGCAACACGAUCCGCAAACUGACACUUUUUUUUUAUUGUCACGACACACCUUUUACAUGGAAACUAAUGGAAAUUAAGCACCCUCCACGGGAGUGUCGGAGGCCUUCAUGAAUCAUCGUUGUCAUCAUCAUCAUUGCCUUCAUCCUUGUGAAACUUCAUCACUGCACCCAAUAUCGGGUUCAGCGCAGUCCUGGCUCUCUUCUUCUUCUUCUUUUGCUUCUUCUGCAGAAUCUGCAAAGAUAAGAACUUAAUUAGACCCCAUACACACAUGUACAGCUCUGAAAUCUUAUCUUGGAACAACUAAAGUUGCAAUGAAUCGGUGGAACAUACAAAAGGUUAGCUUAGUUACCUUUUUAAUCGCUGCUUUCUGUUGGCUGGAAAAUGCAUCCUUGUUUUGCUUGGCAUACUCCUUUAACUCCUCCAAAUCCAUUGCCUCCAUCCUUGCCAGCUGCCAACAAAAUCAUCAUGUAUGUACCCACAAUAAAAUAGCAUUGCGAAACGCAGGGAGUGCAAAAUCGACACCGUCGGUGGAAUAAAAAGAAAAAACAUCAACAUCAACUUAUAUGUCAGGAUGAGUUGCCAUUUACCCAUGAACUGAAUUCCUCUGCUUGCCUCGUCGUGUUGUCAUCACCAGGUUCCUUGUCAUUAUUCCCUCGACCCAUAUCAACUACAGAAUGAUCACUGAUUAGGUUAAGGACUUGCAAUUCUGGAAAUGGAAAUUUUGUAACUUGAAGGACCUGAAGACUGGUCAGGCCUAUUUAUAGGGGGGCUUCACCACCAGAUUAGUCCCUCACAUUCUUUCAUAUUAUAUAUUUUUGACAGGAAAAAGGAUAUUAAUUAAGGAACAAGCCACAUUGACCAUUACUUGCUAGAACAUGUAUACCAUAAUGUGGAGGCUCUCACUGAAUUUUAGGAGGCAGUUUACAUGGAUUUCUUAUUGUACACCACAAAGCUAAUAACAGAUGCUUGAUACAAGGAGGUUCACAUGGCAUUUUUGACGACCUGAAUCUUACAUCUGCAAGAUUGGUUCUUUGCGUGUUGAUUUCUUUGUGAUGAACUCAAGAAGAUAGAUAGCUAGAUCACACUUUUUGCUUAGGGUAUGGACCUUUUCCUUCACACCUCUUAUUCUCCAUAUUUUCUGUAAGUAACUGCUGUUUUGUAUUUGGAAAAGGUCAUGCAUACUUCAUAGCUUGCGUCACUCAUAUAGAUAGUUAGGAAUAGAUCCACCAUGAAAAAUGUUUUCAUAAUUUAUUUAUUUGGUAUAUAGAUGUUGGUAUUUUAUCAAUAAACAUGAUCAAACUUUUCAAAAAAUUAACUUAGAACAAAACUUAUAUGUUCUAUUUUAUGGAAAGGAGGCAGUAACUAAUUUAUUGCCAGAAAGGCUCUAGAACCCGAUCAAAAAAUGAAGCACUAGUAGUAUACGGUAUGCGUGCCAUUAACUAAACAUUGAAUCGUACUUCCUUUUCAGUUUAGAGUUGAUUGUGCUACUUAAUUGACUACUUACUUGCUGCCAAGUCUCAAUAACGUCAUAAGCAUCUUCAAAUGUUGCAAACGCUACGUAUCAAAAGGAAGAUUAACUGUAAAGGUGGCGUUAUCAUAUAUCAUUUGGAGGGAAGUGAGUAACCAAAGGUGGCGUUUCUUUUCAACUCACGUAUAUCUUUUUCCUCCUUAAUUUCUGCAUAUAAUAAUUAACCGUAAAUACUAUCAAUAAAAAAGGCCGAAAGCUAUAUAUAGGUUACACGGUUUUGCUAUGUCUUGUGGAAGUUGCCAAUUGUUUUGGUUUUGUUUGCAUGGAUAAUUUGAAUUGUGGAAGUCAAUAAAUUGUAUCCAAAGUUUUACUUUUGACAAUAUAUAAUUGUAUCCAAAGUUUAAUGUUGACAAUAAUUGUGUCCAGAGUUAGUCUUGUAAUUAUUAGGAAUAGCAGCAAACAGUGGGCAAAAGUUAGAGAAAUCCUCUACUGUGAAGUCUGAUAUAUCUUGGUGCAAAAGAAAUACAGGAGAUUUGCCAUGAGUUUUUAUAAAACCCAAGGAACUCAAUAUACUAUGGUAGUACUUCUGAGACAAAUCUACGGUCACAUGAUCCGAGUAUUUGAUCAAUAUUUCAAAGAAUAUCAGUAUGUUGACCAGUUUACUGCACCAAUGGAAAAAAUAACCGGAGGAGGUAUAUUUCUCACCAUGAAUGUUCAGAGUGAGAAUAAUUAUCCCUAUACGGUACAUACCGGUAUAUUGCGCUAUAUAUCUUAUUUUUUACCGGAAAUCAUAGUACUGUCUCGUAGCCAUAAGAUAAAACAAAGUAGACAUAACAAAAAGAUGGAAUUAAAGAAGAACCUUGCAUGUGUCGCCUUUGACUCCUUCUAGGCUCGCCAGUCACACCAACAUCAUCAGAACACAUAGUUUUUGCCAUGCAAACUGUGAGGAUACUAAGAUAUAGAGUGGACUUAAACAUGUUAUAGCACAUGUAAGACUAAGAGUAUAGAGGGCCGGGCUUGGCUCGGCUCGACUCAUGCUUAUAUAGACGAGGCCGGGUUGAUUCAGGGAUCCAUAUCAGAAUUCCGGCGUGAUAAGCGCGACGGUUAUUAUUUGCCAAUAGUUUCAAGCGACCGAUCACGUGAAGGUGUAUGUGUCGUAUCUUUCCUUUUUUUUCUUGACGACAUAUAACAUACGCCACAAUUAAGUAAUUACUGUCUUCUUCUUGAUUUAGAUACAGAGUUAUGUGAUAAAGAAAAAAAAUAUCAUUUCGAAGAGGACACAUUGAACAUAAGUUAUAUAUCUUGGGUAAUACAUAGUAGUAUAGUGUUUUCAUAGUGAAUAUUAUUUUCAUUUUCACAAUUUAACGGUAUAAAAUCUAAAAUUUAUAGUACAUAUUACUGGUCUAAUUGUUGGUCAAAGUUCGACCUCGAAAUGCAUGUGUGUCAUUCUUUGUGAAAAGGAGCGAGCAGUUGGCUAAGGUUUUAGCAUUUGAGUGAAGUGAACACCCAUUUCCCACCCUAUUUCCAUAUCCCAUCUCCAACACAAGUCCAACAGGCUAUUGUAAAAUGAAACGUAUCAAGGUGGAAGCUCAGAUGGUGAAAGACUAUUUGUUGAAAACCAAAAUAGAUGCCACAUGGUAUGGAUUUUUUACCCCUUUUUCCUUACAGUGUAGUCACAUAUACAAUCUCGCUUCAGCUACGACUAGAUCUUGUUAAUUGACUGAUACAACAAAAGCGUACCAUUCAUUUUAACCAGAAUGAUGUCAUUUAGUUAAAUUCCAUAAAAAUAUAUUAUCUUCAUUGGACUAACUUAUUUGAUUUAAUGUUAAUGCUCAACUUCAUUCCUAUAUGGACGAGAAACUUCAUGGAAAUUACAUAAAAAUAUCAAUCUUGCAUACGUGUUGGUUAGAAUGAUGUUUGAUUGCCACUUGCCUCACAUUAAAUUGACAACACACACACAUUUUUAUCGAUAACCCAAAAUGACAGUUGCAACAGCCAUGGAAAGUGCAACAGAUGCUGCUCUGGACUACAUCAAAUGGAGUUGGAAUGUUGAGUUUAACUGUUGAAGCUGUGAUCCAAAUUCUCAAGAGGGUGUUUCCCAAGACCGGAACUUCCGGUCUACUUCCGGUGGGGCGGAACUUUCACCCAACAUCCGGCUCACCUCCGUGAUGCUACUGGAACUUCGCGUGAAGACUGCGAAGGUUGGUCCGGAACUUCCGGGGGUCCGGAACUUCCGGCACUAACCCCGGAACUUCUGGGGUCCCCGAUACGGAUCUGUUUUGCCCUAAUUCUCCUGCUAUAUAUACCCCUUGUAAGCCGCCGUUUCGGGAAGAGUUGUUUUUCGUGAAAUCUCCCGGGCGUUGUAAACACUCCCCAUAUAGUGAAGUUUCGCUGGCUGGCGUCUGUGGUUUUUCCCUCUCGUUGUUUGAAAGGGUUUUCCACGGUAAAUCCGUGUGUCCUAGUGCUGUGAUUUCAUCUUCGUUCUUCAUUCUUGCUUGUCACGUUCAUAACAAGUGGUAUCAGAGCCCUAGGUUCCGCCUAGGGUUUGCGACAUGUCUACCUUGAAGUUCGAUAUGCUGCAGCUGGACUACACCACACGAUUCUCGUUGUGGCAAGUGAAGAUAUGGGCGAUUCUCGCCCAAACUUCAAAUCUGGAUGAAGCGCUUGAUUCCUUCAGCAAGAAGGAUGCAAAGGAGUGGACUGCCGAAGAGAAACACAAAGAUCAUGGCUUUGUCUUUGAUUCAACUUCAUCUAUCCAAUAAUAUUUUGCAGUAAGUGUUGGAGGAGAAAUCCGCAGCAACCUUGUGGCUGAAACUGGAAUCGAUCUGCAUGUCUAAAGAUCUAGCCAGUAAGAUGCAUGUAAAGAUGAAGUUGUUCACCCAUAAGUUGCAAGAAGGUGGAUCGUUAAUAUCUCAUAUAACUGUUUUUCAAGAGAUAGUUUCUGACUUGCAAGCUUUGGAGGUUAAGUAUGAUGAAGAGGAUUUAGCCAUCUUACUCUUAGUCUUGUUGCCUAGUUACUAUACAAAUUUCCACGAUUCAAUUCUUUACAGCCAUGACUCUCUAACCCUUGUUGAGGUUUUAGAGGGAUUUAGACAAAAAGAGAUGAAGUCCAUGGUGCAGGCCGAUGGGUCGCCGUCAAAGGCUGAAGCUCUGCAGGCUCAUGGCAGGAACGAGCAGAGAAAUAACAACUAUGACAACCGAGAUAAGAGCCGGGACGGAAAUGCUCGUUCAAAGUCCUGAGGAAAAGAUAAGUUCUGCAGGUAUUGUAAGAAAAAUAAUCAUGUUAUUGAGGAUUUUUAUAAACUCCAGAACAAGGAGAAAAGGAACGGUACCUACAAACCUAAAGACAAAUCCAAUGGUAAUGGUAAGGCCGCUGUCGUUUCUACCGACAACUCUGAGGGUGAAUCCCUCGCUGUUCUUGCUCCUUGUGCUUCCCGUGAUGAUGAAUGGAUUCUUGAUACAUCAUGUUCCUUUCAUAUUUGUUGUAACAAGGAUUGGUUCAGUUCUUAUGAGUCUGUGCAGACUGGAGAUUUUGUGCGUGUGGGCAAUGACAAACCUUGUCAUAUUGUUGGCGUUUGGUCUGUUCAGAUCAAGACCCAUGAUGGCAUGACACGCACGUUGAAAGAGAUGAAGCACAUACCAAGCAUGGCUAGAAAUUUGAUCUCGCUUAGUGCCAUGGAUUGUGAUGGGUAUAAGUACGCCGGAGGGUGUAGACUUGUGAAGGUAUCUAGAGGUUCUCUCAUUCACAUGAUAGGUGAUAUGAAUUCUGCCAAAUUAUAUGUUCUUAGAGGUAUGUAGCACUUGGCCUGGUUUUGCUGCUGCUGUACACCUAAUGAUUCUGAUGAUUGUGCUAAAACGAAUAUGUGGCAUAUGUGUCUUGGGCAUAUGAGUGAACAUGGGAUGGCAAAGUUGGUCAAGAGAGAGCUGAUCGAUGGGUGCAACUUGAGUAAGCUUGAAUUUUGUGAACACUGCGUUUAUGGUAAGCACAAAAGGGUUAAGUUCAUUUCUUCCGUUCAUACCACCAAAGGCAUAUUAGAUUAUGUGCAUGCUGAUGUUUGGGGACCUUCCCGUAAGACUUAUAUUGGUGGUGAUAAUUCCAUGCUUACCAUUAUUGAUGAUUACUCAAGAAAAGUUUAGCCUUAUUUUUUGAAACAUAAAUCUGAUGUUUUCGGUGCGUUCGAGAAGUGGAAAGCUAUGGUAGAAAAGCAAAUUGAAAGGAAGGUAAAAAAUUUGCAUACUGAUAAUAGUGGUGAAUUUGUUUCUGAUGAGUUUGAGGAUGUGAAAUCAUAGGUGAUGUGUAACAUUGGCAAGUGUUUUGGAUGAAACAUUGAUGUGGAUAUUUUGGAUAAUAUGGAUACUUAUGUGAUGACAUGUAUCUUGUUUGGACUUAGUGCUUUACUAGUGGUGUGUUGAUCCAUUAGUUUCUUAUGUGAAAAACAUGGCGUGAGUUGUGUGGAACUUACCCUGAGUCAAGUCAUGGAUUUGUGCUCGUACUGGUUAUUUAUGUGUUCACUUUCAGGUGUUGCCGGAGCUAGAGGAACAUGGUCGAUGACGGGAUCGAGGGACGAACCUUGGGAGAAGCUGAGGUCAAGGAUCAAGGUCAUACGGGAGGUUCGUGCGAAGGAACAAUGGAAGUGAAAGAUGAUCCGGAAGGGCACCGGUUUGUCGUACGUUGUUUAUACCCGAGAUGUACGGUAUUGGAGAUAUUCGACACGUGAUGGUCGAGUUUUGAAGACAUCACAAGAAGAGUUGAUGGCAUGGAGUGUCAUCGACGUGAAGACAUGUAGGUCCAGCCGUGGCUGGAUGAGAGCUGUUUAAAGAUUAAAGAGUAGCGUCAUCAAGAUGACGUCCGAUGGAAAAGUGGUUCACAUGAAAGUUGUGCGCGUCGUCUGUGGGCCCCACGGGCAGAAUAACCACCGGAACCAAAGAGUUCGUGUUGGAUUCGGACUCGGUUUAGGGUCGCGAAUUUUCCCUUGUAAAUAGAGAACGUCCUAGUUAGGGUUUUAGUAACGAUGUGAGGGAAUUCAGAGGUUUGAAUCUAGAUCAAUUCUUUUAGAGUUCUUGGAUGCAUGGUUGCAUUUUUUGUAAUCGAUCAACAUCGUUGCAAUAAAGAGAUUCGUUGGCGGUGUCAUCUCUGUUCUUCUCGGAUCUUCGUGGAUUCUUCGUGUUAGAUCUUUCUAACACUUUGCCGCAAAUUUAUCACGAGUUCAUAAUACUUUGCUGCAGGUUUACCACGAGAUCAAGGAAAGAUCACGAUUACUUCAUCUUUGUUGUUAUUCCUCAAAAUCGAUUAUAGAUUAAUUCUCGUAACUUUCUAUCAGUUGUUACUGAUUUGAUCAUAUCUUUUGAUUGGUAAGUCCAAUUGAGCUGAUUCUUGCUGCGUUCGUUAGAUAAUUUCAAUAGCUUUCUUUUGCAUACUCAUACGUAUUUUUUGGUUCAUCCAAUCAAAAGUUACAGCUGUUUUACUAUCACGGACAGAAAGGUGAUUUAGGGUUUGAAUUUUCGGGAAAAUUUUUAAUUUGCUUCUGCCCAAUCAUUCCCCCCCCCCCCCCCUCUAAUUGCCUAUCUCGAUCUCACAGAGGAGUUUUGCAGCAACGAUGGUGUUGUUAGGCACUACACGGUUGCCCGUACUCCACAGCAAAAUGACGUGGCUGAACGCAUGAAUAGAACCAUCAUCUUGAGGGCCCCUUGCAUGCUGUCCAAUGCAGGUUUGGGCAGUCGUUUUUGGGCUGAGGCAGCUUCCACCACAUGCUACCUCAUAAAUAGGUCACCUUCUAUUCCACUUGACAAGAAAACUCUCAUUGAGGUAUGGUCUGGUAAACCUGCUGAUUAUUCACAAUUGAGAGUUUUCGGUUGCACCGGUUAUGCUCACGUUGAUAAUGGAAAGCUAAAACCUAGAGUUGUUAAGUGCAUGUUUCUUGGCUAUGGUUCUGGAGUUAAAGCUUAUAGGUUGUGGAAUCCUGAAGCAAAAAAGAUUUUGCUGAGCAGGAAUGUUGUCUUUAAUGAAAAAGUUAUGUAUCAUGAUAUUUUGUCCACUGAUGCCUCUCGCAUUGAAGAGGAGAGACUUAGAGUGCAGGUGGAGCACGUUGAUGAAAUUGUUGACAACGAUGAUGCUCAGGUUGAUAAUGGUAAUGAUGAUGGGAACAAUGAUGAUAAUAAUGAUGAUAUUGUUCCACCCUCACCACCUGUUUUGCAGCAACUCACACGGUCUAUUGCAGCUGAUCGUCCGAAGAGAAAUAAAGGUCCUCGCCCACGUUUAAUUGAAGAGUGUGAUUUUGUUUAUUAUGCUUUGAGUUGUGCAGAACAAGUGGAGCAUGAUAGUGAACCGGCCACAUAUAAUGAAGCAGUUGUUUCCGGCGAACGUGUGAAGUGGUUGUCUGCCAUGCAAGAGGAGAUGCAAUCUCUUGAGAAGAAUGGCACAUGGGAUGUUGUGCCCUUGCCUAAACAAAAGAAGGCCGUUCGCUGCAAGUGGAUCUUCAAGAGAAAGGAGGGUUUGUCUCCUAAUGAGCAUAUGAGGUUUAAGGCAAGGUUAUGGCAAAAGGUUUCAGUCAAAUGCCACGUAUUGAUUACAAUGAUGUGUUCUCUCCAGUGGUAAAGCAUAGUUCAAUUCGUACUUUCUUUGGUAUUGUUGGUAUGCAUGAUCUUGAGCUUGAGUAGUUAGAUGUGAAGACUGCAUUUUUGCAUGGAGAGCUUGAGGAGGAAAUAACAUGGACCAACCUGAAGGGUUCAUAGUUCCUGGUAAAGAGGAGUUUGUUUUUAAGUUGAAGAAGUCAUUUUAUGGUUUGAAGCAAUCUUCUAGACAGUGGUAGAAAAGGUUCGAUUCAUUUAUGAUCUCACGUGGUUUUAGUAGAUCUCAAAAUGACGGUGUGUCUACAUUAAAUUUGUUGAUGGAUCAUCUAUAUACUUGCUGUUAUAUGUUGAUGAUAUAUUAAUUGCUGCCAAGAGCAUGAAAGUAAUCAGUACUUAGAAGGCACAACUAAGUAGUGAAUUUGAGAUGAAGGAUCUUGGUGCUGGUAAGAAAAUCCUAGGUAUGGAAAUUAAGAAGGACAGAAAAUCUAGAUUGCUAUUUCUUAGUCAGCAAAGUUACAUUGAGAAAGUUCUUCAUCGUUUUAAUAUGCAUGAUGCAAAGUGUGUUAGUACUCCUAUUGCUUCUCAUUUCAAGUUGUCAGCGUUGCAAUGUGCUACUUUUGAUGAAGAUCCUGAGUAUAUGUCACGAGUGUUGGGAAUAUGCCCUAGAGGCAAUCAUGUAUGAUGUAAUUCCCAAUGUAUUCAUAAAUAUUAUUAAGUUGUCCUUGUUUGAACAUCUGAUAUGUAUCAUUGAAUAUGUGAUUUGAUUGUGGAACUAUGUAUUCAUGUUGUUCAUACUAAAUUGUCCUUAGUCAUUGAGGUUGUGCUGGACACAUAACCUAGACUAAUGUGAAAGUUGGCUGAUGACUCGGUUCCACUUGUCAUGGGCAUGGUGAUGUCAUUUCAGUUUACACGGACUCGGCUAAAGAGCUUAGCGAGUCGGACUGACCCAUAUUGAGAUGCAACGAGUAGGUCGUCAUUUGCAUGUCUCAAUCAAUGUAAUCCUUAGACCUGAGGUUAUCGCACAAUCCGAGUUGUGGAUCACCAACUUAGGUUCUGUCAAACGUUCUUCCGUAACAGGGCAGUUAUAAAGGCAGAGUUCGGGUUGACUGAGAAUCAAGCUGUGUGAUGUGGAUAACCAAGAUGGGAUUUUGCCCCUCCGACUGGAGAGAUAUUCUCUGGGCCCUCUCGAGUGAUAUGAUUCGGGAAGCAUGGCCAUGCGCGACUUGGUUAACUGUUAACCGGGUCGAUCAACUAAGAGUUAGUCGGAUGAAUCGUAUAUCACAGAUCGAGAAGAGAGUUGAACUAUUAAAGGGAUGACGAUUAAUCGCCUAUAGUUCGACAAGGUAUAUCGUGAGGCAAAAGGGACUAAGACGUAUGUCACAUUGGAAGGUACGUCGUCAUGACUCGAUGGUACUUGGGAGUCGACACGUUCUGCUAGGAGCCGCUACCGAUCGAUCGAUUGUGAGUCGGACUCCAAUCGUGUCCAAGUCGCCAUGAGCCUGCGGGGUCACACACUUAAGAGCGGGAGCAAGUAUUUGGUCGGGUUGGACCCGAACUGGAAUUGGGCUGACAAUGCGAGUUGGACUCGCAGGGUGGAUGGGCCACAAGGCUUGGAGCCCACUUCCACUCGAUAUAUAAGCAGGGGCGUGGGGAUGCCUAAGGGGCACGGUCUUUCCACUCUCAUGCGUUGAGAACCCUAGCCCGAUUCAGUUCAACUGUCACACCGGACCUAGCAGUCCGCCGCCGGAGCUCCUCCUCGCACGUGUGGAUACCGGCAAAGGUGCUGUACGUUCAGCACUUCGACGAUCGCGGGAUCGGAUCGGCUGGAUCGGAUCGAGGGACUGCACUGCAUCAAGGCGCUGCAUCAAUAAUCCGCAACUGUGCGUCUAGUGGUAAUCCUCGUGGCCUUCUACCUCGGCUAGAUCUUGGGAGUUCGCGUAGGAAAAGUUUUUGUUUAUCUCUACGUGCCCCUUCAACGAGUUCCCUAUUCUAGUGUUGUUGGUUCCGUGAUGUAUGACAUGGUUUGUUCACGUACUGAUUUAUCACAUGCUAUGAGUUUGGUCAGUCGUUACAUGGCUAAUCCCGGUAAAGAACAUUGGAAAGCUGUUCAGUGGAUUUUCAGGUACCUCCGUGGCACAUCAAAUGCUUGCUUGAAGUUUGGCAAGACUGAUGAGGGACUCGCUACCUAUGUGGAUUCAGAUUUUGCUGCCGACUUGAAUAACAGUAGAUCCCUCACAGGUUAUGUGUUCACGAUAGAUGGAUGUGAUGUGCAUUGAAGGCAACACUGCAACCAGUUGUUGCUCAAUUUACAACCGAAGCAGAAUAUAUGGCUAUUGCUAAAGUUUGCAAAGAGUUUGUCUGGUUGAAAGGUUUAUAUGCUGAGCUUUGUCAAGAUGUUUCUUGCAUUAACAUGUUUUGUAAUAGUCAAAGUGCUAUUUACCUUACUAAAGAUCAGAUGCUCCAUGAGAGAAUCAAGCACAUUGAUGUCAAGUACCAUUUUGUUCGCGACGUUGUUGCACAAGGUAAAUUGAAGGUAUGCAAGAUCAACACUCAUUAUAAUCCUGCUGAUAUGAUGACAAAGCUUGUUCCUCUUGCUAAGGUUGAGCUAUGCUCAAGCUUAGCUGAUAUAACUGUUUAGCCCCUAGUGGAUGUUGGCACCGAAAGUGUUUUCUUUGUUGAUUCAGGAGUUGUUGAUGUUCAUGCUACAAGGAGAAUUUGUCUUGAGGUGGAGUUUGUUGAAGUUGUGAUCCAAAUUCUCAAGAGGGUGUUUCCUGGGACCGGAACCGGAACUUCCGGUGGGGCAUAACUUCCACCCAACAUCCGGCUCAUCUCCGUGAUGCUACUGGAAUUUCGCGUGAAGACUGCGGAGGUUGGUCCAGAACAAUCCCAGAACUUUCUGGGGUCCGGAACUUCCGGCCCUAACCCCGAAACUUCCGGGGUCCCAUAUACGGAUCUGUUUUGCCCUAAUUCUCCUGCUAUAUAUACCCCUUGUAAGCUGCUAUUUCGGGAAGAGUUGUUUUUCGUGAAAUCUCCCGGGCGUUGUAAACACUCCCCAUAUAGUGAAGUUUCGCUGGCUGGCGCCUGUGUUUUUUUCCUCUCGUUGUUUGAGAGGGUUUUCCAUGUUAAAUCCGUGUGUUCUAGUGCUAUGAUUUCUUCUUCGUUCUUCGUUCUUCGUUCUUGCUUGUCACGUUCAUAACAUUAAGAUCUUCAAUUAUUUUAAGGUUACCAUUUAGGAAGCAGAACUUCACACGCAGAACGGCUGGAAUCAAUUGAAAAUCAAUGGUGGUUAGAGCAGAUCCAGAGUUUGCAAACUGUACAGGAGUCAUAAAUCGAGCUCCUCAACAUACAUAUUACGAGGUACACUCCUAGAUACCAGGUUUAAAGAUAAACCAGCUAGCUUUAAAACCCAGUGAGGUUACGAGAGAAACAACAGAAGAAAUAUGAAGAAUUUACGGAGAAAACAGCAAGGGUUUUUGCUAAACGGACCAAGGCCCUAUUUGUUUGGGUUUUUGCUUCAGGUUUUGCUGCUUCCCUCCAGAAGCUGCAAGAAACAUCUCCGGACGUGCUUCUUAGCUUCAUGUGUAAACGGGAAAAGUGUUUUUUAAGAGAUAGAAGCAGCAAAAGCUGAAACAGAAUCCAAACAAACAGGGCCAAGCCCGACCUGGCUGGACUGGUGGGCCGUGCCCUGGCAUGCCUCCCGCCUUAGUAGACCGGUACGGCCCGUUUGGCAGCGGAGCGGGCCGUUGCCCAGCCCAGCUAGGCAGCUAUACACCCCUCCUUCUCGCUGCCGAGCGCCGCCCCAGUAGCCCCCUCGCUCCGUGGGCUCGUCUUCCUCCUCGCGCCAGCGCCGCCACCCCUCCCUCGCUCCCCAUCCCGCGGCUGCCCCCUAGCUCGUCUUCCUCCUCGCGCGACCGCCGCCACCGCAGCAGGUUGGUCUCCCCUUCGACUCUCUUGCUCCCGACCGUUUCUCCUCCCGUCACCCCCACGAACGGAUUCUGCCUUUUAGCUCCCCGUUUCAUCUUCCCCAGUUCGUAACAGAGGCAAAAAUCAAGCUAGGGCGGCCGCCCUACUGGGUCCUCCCGUGUGGUGUUGGUAUCUUGCAAGUUGGCAUGGUUUGUUGGGGACUUGCACCAUUCUGGCCUGUUUGGAAUGGGUGUCAUUUUUUUUAGUUCAACGGUGAACUAAACCCUGGCCACGCGACAAGAAUUGCAUCCGUUCCGAACAGGGCCUGAGCGAUAAUUUUAGUCUACUGCGACCUCUCUGAUCCAUUCUGUAUGAAUAUUUUUAUGUUUUGUGUUCCUUUUUGGGGGGUGCAAGUAAUGUUUGUGAUGCUUUCCUGCCGUAGUUGGCUCAUGUUUCUGAUGUGGUGGGCAGGUCGGAUUGAAGAAGAUGGAAGAGGUGGAGAAUUCCAGCAAGCGUAAAGCGUCCGAGCUGGAUUUGGAGGACGAUUCUGCCGCUGCUGCUGUUCCGGACGAGCAGCCGCCGCGGCCCGACUCGGCUGCCAAGCGCCCUAACCUCGCCCGGUCGUGCAUCCAUGAGGUCGCUGUCCCUACCGGCUACGAUUUGUCCAUGGAUGAGGCUGUACAUGGGACCCUUUCCAACCCUGCAUUUAAUGGGGAGAUGGCCAAGACGUACCCAUUUCAGCUCGACCCUUUCCAGAGUGUUUCGAUCGCGUGCUUGGAGCGGAAUGAAUCUGUCUUGGUCUCAGCUCACACCUCCGCGGGGAAGACGGCCAUCGCUGAGUACGCCAUUGCAAUGUCGUUCAGAGACAAGCAGAGGGUUAUAUACACCUCUCCGUUGAAGGCCCUGAGCAAUCAGAAGUACAGGGAGCUUAGUCAGGAGUUUUCUGAUGUCGGUUUGAUGACCGGUGAUGUCACGCUCCAGCCAAAUGCUACUUGCCUGGUCAUGACUACAGAAAUCCUGAGGGCGAUGCUUUAUAGGGGCUCUGAGGUGAUCAAGGAAGUCGGUUGGGUUAUAUUUGAUGAGAUCCACUACAUGAAGGAUCGUGAGAGAGGCGUUGUGUGGGAAGAGAGUAUAGUUUUCCUGCCCACUGCAAUCAAGAUGGUCUUUCUUUCUGCUACUAUGUCAAAUGCAACAGAGUUUGCGGAGUGGAUUUGCAACCUGCACAAGCAGCCUUGUCACGUGGUGUACACAGACUUCAGGCCGACACCGUUACAGCACUACGUAUUCCCGAUAGGCGGGUCUGGUCUCUAUCUUGUAGUAGAUGAAAAUGGUCAGUUCAGGGAGGAUAAUUUUCUAAAGCUGCAAGACACAUUUGCAAAGCAACCUAGUCAACAAGAUGGUAGGAAUGGUGGUGGACCUAAAGCCAGUGGUCGAAUAGCAAAAGGUGGAAAGGCAUCUGGAACUUCUGACAUAUACAGGAUUGUCAAGGUAGGCAAACACUGGCAUAUUUUAGUGCAAGAUCUAUUCUUGCCAUAUUGUGCUUUCUGAAGUUACCAACAACAAACGGUUUAUGCUUUCUUCAACAUGUAUGCAUAUUUUGUUUACAAUAGUUAACAUCUGCAUGUGUUGAUGGAAUUUGAGUAGAGUUUGAAUACAGUAUGAGUAGAGUGACUAUAUGUAUGUGCUUGUGCUAAUUACUAUUUGAGUAUAAUUUGUGAUGCUAUGCAUACAAAUGGAUUUGUGCACCUGCUAAGAUCAUAAUAUCAAAUCCUUUCUUCUCUAGGAUGAGAAAUUUUGAAGAAAAAUAAUUUAACUAAAUGGAAUGUUGUCCACUAAAUCCAUGAUGGUUCAGUUUGUUAAUAUGUUUCUAAUCAAAUGAGAGAUGUUAUACUUAAUUUGCUUCGAGUCUGAUUAUGUGUAGAAUUGGAUUACAUGUAGAAUUUGAUUCCUUAAUUGCUACUAUUAUGUUUUGAUCAUCUUGAAAUAUAGUUCUAUUUUGUAAUAUUGUUCAUUACUGGGUUAGAAGACCAGGCCACAGUUCACGCCUCACUAGUAGAUAUUCACUGUUCAGUGUUUUUGAUGCCUUGUACUUCAUUCAAUUUCUUCCUGUAAUAUUCCUGUUUAAUUUUGAUGAACACUAAUUUGCAGAUGAUUAUGGAGCGCAAGUUUCAACCAGUCAUAAUUUUCAGCUUUAGUAGAAGAGAAUGUGAACAUCAUGCUAUGUCGAUGUCAAAACUUGAUUUCAACACGGAAGAAGAAAAGGAUAACAUCGAGCAGGUUUUCCGUAGUGCUAUUUUCUGUUUAAGCGAGGAAGAUAGAGGUUUGCCUGCUAUAGAGUUGAUGUUGCCUCUUCUUAAACGAGGUAUUGCAGUACACCAUUCAGGACUGCUUCCAUUAAUUAAGGAGCUGGUAGAACUGCUCUUCCAAGAAGGUCUUGUGAAAGCUCUCUUUGCUACUGAAACGGUGUGCCCUUUAACCUGAUUUUCGCAUUUUAACCUUGAACUACAAUUUGGAGUUACAUUUCUCAAAGGGUAGUUUUUGAAAUUUGACUUGGAAAGCCAGAUAAUUAUUUCUUUAUAAUUUCUGGAAUACAUCUUACACCUUUUGUAUCAGCAUUUGAUUUAUACAUGAUUAUCUUUCCUCAGUUUGCCAUGGGGCUGAACAUGCCUGCAAAAACAGUUGUCUUCACUUCUGUUAAAAAAUGGGAUGGUGAUAGUAACCGUUAUAUUGCUUCCGGAGAAUAUAUUCAGGUAAAUACUUUAUAUAUGAAGUGCAAGUCAUGCAUGUAUGUAGAGUUAGUAGGUGGAAUAGAAUGUAGAAGCCCUUUGUACUAAAAUUUUGUAUUCAUCGUAGAUGAGUGGAAGAGCUGGUCGACGUGGCAAGGAUGAGCGUGGCAUUUGUGUUAUAAUGAUAGAUGAGAAGGUAAGGCUGUGUAGUCUUCUGUAGUCUUCUGUUGUUUUUUUAUAUAGCAUGGUGAUCGUGCAAAGAGGUUUAGUUUGUCUAUGUUGACUAAGUAAGCCUAAUAGACUCAUUUUAAAAGUACAAUCCAGACUCUACAAUUGUCUUCUUGGGUUGAUUUAGGAUAAUGAAAUGUGACACUGAUUAUUGCUUUAUUUUUGUGUGAUGCAAAUGGUAUUAACUUGAAGUCAUGGUUCUAAUUGCGCUAGAUGUUUAUCAGUGUUAAUAUUUAAAUUAUCACAGUUUCAUCGGUUAUAGGUAUGCAAUGACAUGUAUGACUAACUGAAGUCAUUAUGAGCUAAGAUAUGUUUCAGAUUAUUGAGCCUUUAAAUUCAAAAGAUACUUGAGCUGUUCUUAGUAGCUAUUUUGAGAAUUGUUUCAUUCUGUUGAAGUUUUCCUCCCAAGAGAUUUUGUUCCACAUUCAUGCUUGAAUUUGCUUUUCACGUAAAGAACUUAGCUUUAAAUGGUUCUUAUGCAAACUUAAUUUGUUCUUGAGUUCUUAGUAAUUGUGUUAACAUUCAUUUUGUGAUAUUCAAGCUGCCCUCCAUGAUUUUGAUUUGUUCCCUACUCCUGCUUGAAUUUGCUUGGCAUGUUAAGAUUUACUUAAUACACAAUGGUUUUUAUGCAACUUAGGUACACUGAGAUUUUGUUGUAUGCUCAUGUGAUUCCUUUAGUUUGACUUUUGGUCAUUGGUCUCAACACAAUGAAAUUUUGCAGAUGGAAAUGAGUGUUAUUAAAGAUAUGGUGUUAGGUAAACCAGCACCUCUUAUCAGUACUUUCCGACUGAGCUAUUACACUAUUCUAAAUUUACUGAGUCGCGCGGAGGGCCAAUUUACUGCCGAGCAUGUGAUCCGGAAUUCAUUCCAUCAGUUCCAAUACGAAAAGGUUUCUUUCAGAAUGUCUUAUAAAUGUUUCUGACAUAUCUUUGACACUGUUAAAGAUUAGCGUCCCUUGUUUUUCAGGCAUUACCAGAAGUGGUUCAGAAGAUUACAAGGUUGGAAAAUGAAGCUACUUUGCUGGACUCUUCUGGAGAGGUAUGUUUUUUUAUUGUAGUAUCCUUUAGUGUGCUUCUUUUUUACUAACAAAUUUAACACAUUUUCCUGUACAGAAUGAUCUGGGUGAAUAUCACAAAUUAGGGCUUGAUAUAUCUGAACUUGAAAAGAAAAUCAUGUCUGAGAUGAUCAGACCAGAGAGAGCUUUGUUAUAUUUGGUUCCUGGAAGGCUGGUAUGUAACUGUUUUUCAUAGGUUCUGUUCUUGCUUGAGGAUGAUUACGUUCAUCAGUCAUCACCGUAUUUGACUAUUUGUGUGAUAAGAGCAUCUCCACUUGUCCUCCCUAUAUUUCAUCCGGCGCAUGGCCUUAUGGGGAGGCGCCGGCGCAACAAUUUGUUUGGGGUGGAACCGGCACCCAGCCGCACCCCCAAACAUCGCUCCCCCAAAUUUAGUUUGUCUCGCUGAUAGUGGUGGCCCGUGCUGCUUUUCAGCUUCAGCCGGCGCCCCUGCUAGCCCCCCUGUGAGUAGGGAGUGGAUUGGGGGCGCCAGCUAAAUUCUUGUGCCACGCCGGCUACUUUUUGGAUUUAGGGGAGUGGACUGGGUGGGUUUUUCAGCGCCGGCGCCCCCAUUUAGCGUUUGGGGGGCCUUUAGGGGGGGCGGCUGGAGAUGCUCUAAGAACAGCUAUGUAGCAGGAAUGCUGUAUUUAUUUCUGUUCAGUGUUCGUCAUUUUCUCUUACUGCACUGAGCAAUUUGCAUCAUGGCAGGUAAAAGUGAGGGAUGGUUCAACAGACUGGGGAUGGGGUGUGGUUGUAAAUGUGGUGAAGAAACCUCCAGCAUCUAGUACUCUCCCCCCAGCAUUAAGUGCAUCUCGUAGUAAUAGCUAUAUAGUGGACACCUUGCUUCACUGUUCUUCUAGUUCAAGCGAGAAUGGAUCACGUUCAAAGCCAUGCCCACCUCGCCCAGGGGAGAAGGGAGAAAUGCAUGUGGUGAGUUAAAGUUGAUGAACAAAGGGGUUUUAUUCUCGCGGCAUAUCUUUAGUUUUCUAGACUACCAUUUGAUGAUGGUCAUUUAAGGAUGACCAGAAAUCUUCUUUUGACUAAUGUUGAGAGGACUUUGCAGGUGCCUGUACCAUUACCGUUAGUAUCUGGUCUAAGCAGCGUUAGAAUCAACAUUCCUCCUGAUCUACGACCACCUGAAGCAAGACAAAAUAUACUUUUUGCAGUUCAAGAACUGGGAAAGCGUUAUCCCCAAGGGCUUCCGAAGCUACAUCCAAUUACGGUGAAAAAUCUUCUUACAUAAUGCCACUCUCUAGUUUUUGUUUUAGAGAGGCUGAAAUUUCAAAAAAAAAUAAAAAAAAUAAUUCAGGAACUAGUUCUACAUGUACAGAUCCCUUUAUGAUUGAUGCUGCUCCUCCUUUUUGCAUUUCUGCCUGUAAUAUUUAGUCGGUCCAGUUUCUCAGAGUAAUCUUUUCCAGAAAUAUAUCAGCAAGAAUCCUAAAGCAAUCUUUUGAAAUCCUGCAGUCAUUUUGAUUCUGAUAUAAUCUGAUUAUAAUUACUAGGACAUGGGUAUUGAAGAACCUGAAUUAGUUGACUUGGUUCAUAAACUUGAGGAUCUCGAGCAGAAACUAUGUUCUCAUCCACUUCAUAAGGUAUGCUUUGUUUUCCCCUUUAGACAAAUGUCCAAUCCCUGUUCUAUUUAACCGAUUUAUUUUGUGCUAUUUUGGUGUCACAGUCUGAUCAAAAUGAGCAGCAACUAUCAUGGUACCAAAGAAAAGCUGAGCUAAAUCAUGAAAUUCAACAACUGAAGUCAAAGAUGCGUGAUUCACAGGUUAGCUGAAUUUUUGCAUGGUAGGUCCCUUUUAGUCUGUCAAAUGUGCUCUUACACUCUCCUCUGUUCAGCUACAAAAAUUUAGGGAUGAACUUAAGAACCGGUCUCGCGUUCUCAAGAUGCUUGGUCACAUUGACGGGGAUGGUGUUCUUCAGUUAAAGGGACGUGCUGCCUGUUUAAUAGACACAGGGGAUGAGCUGCUUAUCACUGAACUUAUGUUUAAUGGUACCUGUUGAUAUGAUUUUCCGUGCUCACUUUUUUUUUGUUUACUUUAUAUUCAAUUGCAUUAAUGCAUUUAUGUGACUAGGUACAUUUAAUGAUCUUGAUCAUCAUCAAGUUGCUUCAGUUGUUAGCUGCUUUGUACCAUGUGAGAAGUCAAAUGAGCAAAUACGCCUGAGAAAUGAGCUGUCUAAGCCAAUGAUGCAACUGCAGGAGGCUGCAAGAAAAAUAGCUGAGGUGCAUACUUGUUUUAUCAUCACUAUUUUGCCGUUUCUCUGUAUUUGAUUGGGAUCUCUGAUUUCUCAUUCUUGAGUUAGGUACAACGAGAAUGCAAAUUGGACGUAAAUGUGGAGGAGUACGUUGAAUCAACUUGUAAACCCUACCUGAUGGACGUCAUAUACUGCUGGUCAAAGGUUGGUCAGCAGUAGCAAUUCCUGAAUCCUGAUAUUCAAGAUCUUUUUUUCUGUCCCUUUCGGACAUUUUCCCAGCAUCGAUACAUCUUAUUUUGAAUUAUGGGUUCUUAUAAUCUAUAAACGCCCAUCAGAUGCACUUAUAAAUAUAUAUUGGUACUGCUGCUGUUUAGUAUGUCAAUUCCGAAUUUAUUUAUUUUCUCACAGGGCGCCACCUUUGGAGAAGUGAUAGAAAUGACUGACAUUUUUGAAGGAAGCAUCAUAAGGCUUGUGAGGAGACUGGAUGAAUUUCUGAAUCAGGUAGACUAUCUGUAUUUAUUUUUAAACCUAUUCCAGCUGGUUUUUCCCACCACUAGUACCUAAUCACUAGGGCAACCAGAAUGUGAUGUCUGCCUUUGAUUAUCCCCUUUGCUCAAUGUUGCGAAUCAAAAAGGGACAAUGCUUCUAGAUAAAUGUCCGUUAAAGUGUCAAGGAACAUUAUCUCUCAGUGUGACAUAACUAAAUAUGGCGAACUAGAUGAAGUCUAGUUCUAGUGUCAACAACAAUUCAUGGCCCAACUUCACUUGUUUUACUGCCUGAUUUCGUAACUUGCUUGGCAGUGUAAAUAAGUGUAACUUGUUCAAUAAUCUCUAGUUCAUUUAAUCUCUAGAAAGCACAUUGUGAUUGGCAUCCCCUUUGUUCUAUGCCUGUUCCCGCAUGCCAACCGCUUAUUUUUCCUGUCUCCCAAGUGCAUACAUAGUCCAUAAAAUUAAAUCCAUCUGGCUUCCUUUUCUGACCAAGCUAAUUCUGUGGAUCUGUUGCCAGCUAAAAGCUGCCGCUGAAGCUGUUGGGGAGGUCAACCUUGAGAACAAGUUUGGAUCGGCGAGCGAGAGCUUACGCCGGGGUAUCAUGUUUGCCAACUCGUUGUAUCUCUGACGAAUGGAGCUCCUCCAGCAGUUGUACUACCAUAUAUGUUAGCAAACCAAACGUAGUUCUCAUUUUUUGCCUUAUGGCAUGGCAUCGAAAUGUAACCCUUAUCUAUCAGAAUGUAGGGUGUAGCCUUGUACCCUGUUAACCCCCUAGGCAUCAACUGUUCCACCAGAAGACUGGAAGCCAUCUGUGCUAUGCACCAGCUUAUCUAUGUCCAAUACAUGUAUACAUCAGGUGGUGCUAGCAUUUUUGUAAUCGGCCCAAAAUGGCACGAAAGUUCUAUUACGCCUGCCUCAUUUUAGAGAUCAUUCAGGUUCAUAUAAGAUGAUGUGAUUCGGAGGGCUUGGAUAGUUGGAUGUGCUGUUAUGAUGUUAUCAGGCAGUUCUCUUUACUUUGCCACGGCAUCUUUUGACGGGAUCUAGUUAGGCAUGAUAUAGCAAGCAGCUAAAUUUAUUUUGCUUUCAAUACAAAGAUACCUGAUUCUAGACGGUUUAUCUUGUUACGAGGAACGGUUGUGUGUAAUCUUACACGGAGGCGUUGUGUGUGAUCUUACAUGGUUACUUCCUAGUUCCUACUAGGUUGUAUCUAAAGUCUUUUCUUGCAAUGGAAAAAUACGCAAAUCUUCAAUGUAAGAGCAAUUUUUUGUGUUAUCACAGCAGCUUAUAUGUUACUCCCUCCGUUUCAUAAUUUUUGUUGAAAUAUUACAUGUAUCUAGAUAUUUUUUAGGAAUAGAUACAUCCAUUUUUCGACAACUUUUAGACAAGAACGAUGGAACGGAGGGAAUACAAUCUAUAUUGCUAUAUCACCAAUUGCAUUUAGCUCUAGUACGCUCUUUAUUUUAAUUUUUACAAAAGAAAUACAAUAUGUGAAAUUUCCCAAAAAUAAUGGAAAACGAAACACAAUCUGAAUUUUCGUGGAUUCAGUGUAUUUCCACAUUGAUUUAUUUAAUUCUUCAAUUUGAGGUGCACUUUUAGAAACAAAAAACAAAGAGGUACAUAAUUUUUUUUUCUAUGGAAAUUUGCAGAUUCAUAGUGCGUCUUCGCAUGUGUGCACAGUUUCUGGUUCCUUUUUUUCAUUUACAGUGCACCUUUUGCAAACUUUCAGAAUAAAGAGCUAAACAUCUACCCCCUUGCCUGGCCAUGGAUUUUAUCACCCAAUUUUCACCCGUUUGCAAGUUUUGUGCUAUGAGUAGAGAACUUUAAAGCAGUCAACAGAAUAUACUAAAACCACCAGUGGUGUAACAAAUUUGUAAUUCAUCUUGCAAAACAUCAUAUACAUUCUGCAAUAGUGUUCGGAGCCUGAAAUAAAUUCAAAUAAGAACAUCUGAUGCUACAAAUCACACGGGAACAGAAACACGCUUCCCUUCUCUUUGAUACAGAUUAUUCUUUUCUAAAAUGUUACAGAGCUGAUGGACAAUCAUCGCUUUUCUUCACAGCAUCUUUACUACUCCCUCCGUCCAACAAAAGAUGUCUCAAGUUUGUGACUUAGUGUAUAGAUGCAUUCAAAUUUGAUGAAAGUUGAGACAUCCUUUGUUGGACGGAGGGAGUAGUACAUUCUUAUCUUCAACUUUACAAAGAAUGCCAUAUAAAUAAUCAGGAGCAAAACUGAUGACCCAUGGAUGCCAACAAAGUUGAGAAGUUACAUGUGUAGCUAGAUGAAUCGAGGAUUGUGUCCAGUUUCGCCACUUCUUGGCUUCUUGCGAUGCUGUCCAUGUACGGUUAACUAAGAAUUUUGGUGUGCCUAGUCAGCUGGUUCUAUUUACCAGCUGAUAGCAUCUUCUGAAGCUGGAUCACCUGCUGCUGCUGCUCAAUUGGCAGCGAACUCAGCUGCUCAGGUGUCAGUUGCAAGACUUGCUGCAGAAGAACUGAUUCGUCGUCGGGCGUGAGCUGUAGCAGAGUGAGAAUUAGAAUUGUGAUCACACGGAAAUUUUAGGUCCAGAAACCUUGUGUGCCAGUACAUUCAAUUCCACCAGAUGACGCUAAGUGUUUAGAUAGUCAAAAAAUUUGGAUGCUUACCCAGCAUCCAAGAAACAGAAAACCUGUAAACUGAAUUAAACAUCAAGGGGAUUACCUGAGGCGCUUCGUUCUCUGGUUGCUGAAAGUUAACAGCACCAGAACUGCAGCUCCCUGAUGGCCCACAAGGGACCACUACCUGUGAUGGAGCGGGAUAAACAGCAGCAUUAUUGUUUACAUUUCCAGAAGCUGAUGUUCCAUCCUCCAAUUUCCGUAAUUUUGAAGGAUGAGCUAACUCUGCCUGAUAACUAGUUCGAUCAGGCAAUCUAAUUUCCUUCAUGGGUAUCUCAGGCGCAGCAGCAACCUGCAACGUGACACUAAGUUAGCCAGUGUGGAAGUGUAAAAAAAAAGUUGUUCUGCAUGAACAGUAAAGUUAAAAGCGCAUCUUGUCUAUACACUUCAGUUAAUCUAUGGGCAUAAGAAAAUAUAGAUGCAUGGUUAAUAACUGUACAGUUUGGUGGUUCAAGUACAUAGUCUACGGGAGUUCCAUAUAUUAGAAGGCCUGAUUAAGAUAGUGCCAAAAAAUAGAAGACCUGAUUAAGACGAUUCAUCAGUCAUCACAAACUUUGGCUUGCUACUUAUGAAUGAAAAUAAGCUCCUUAUAUACGAAGAAAUACCUGGGAGAGAUGAGGAUUGGUCAAAGGUAGUUGCUGUACAUUAGUUGGCAUAACUUGUGGUCUAGGGUGCUGUGGCAAAAAUGGAGGCUGGACUUGCGAUAUCAAGCCUCCUGAGGUUGCAAGGGGUUGAGUAGGAACACUGGAAGAGGUGCUAAAGGGUUGAGACGAAAGCUGAUACUGGUGUCCAUGCGGAAAUAUUUUGAUUGGAGGCUGAGACGAAUGCUGAUACUGAGGAAAAUUAUGCAGUGGUGCAGUUGGUUCCUGUUUUGGAACAACUGGUAUCACAGCAUCUGGUUGCGGAAAUGAUUCAUUGAGGUGAGCAGAAGAUUGUGUCAAUGAGCUAGAGAGUUGUUGGUUCUUCGCCAUCUGCAUCUGCUAUUUCAGAAUACCUAGAUUAGUAUAUUGCAGAAUCCAAGAAGACAUCAGGUGCAUCAAGCUCAAAAGAAACAAGAAUAUACCAUCUGAGGUGUCACCAUCCCGAGCAUUAUUUGUGCCUGCAUUGCAACAAGGAAAAAGUUAUGAGGUUUUAAUCUUCCAUUCUAUGCUAGAAUCACAAUUGAGCAAUGAACAAGAGAAUUUCAAAACAAGCUCUUUCAUCGCAUCGUUGUAGAUUAGCAAAAAUGAAAUGGUAGUUGGUUAAACUUAUAUUGAAAAGGGUGAAUGAAAUGUCUAACAACAAACAGCACAAUAAAAAAUAAACAUUUGUCAACCCUGAACUCUAAAGCCAUUGAAAUGAAACUUUGAACUAUUGAAGCCGCCCACUUUUCCCCUCGAGCGGUUUCAUGAGUAAUUUUGUCUGACAUGGAUGCCUACUGUCAUGUCACUCCAUGCCAUCAUUUUUUUAACCUGUUUCUACAAAUUCUCUUCCAUUCUCUAGUAAUCUUUUGCGCAUGUUUUUAUUCAGAUAAUGAGGAUGUUUUAGAUAGUGUGUUGUGUUGUGUUUCUCUGUCAUGGCAUUGAAAUGCCAGUGACAUGGAGGACACAUCGCAUCCACGACACCCAAAACCACUUAUGAAACCCCAGAGGGUCAAAAGUGAACUAUUUCAAUAGUUUGAGGUUGCAAUUCAAACGUUUUUACAGUCUAGGGUUGAAAAGUGGACCUUGUCCCUAAAAUAUAGGCAACUUUGUUUAAAAGAACUCAUAUGAAUUCGACAACCUACAGAAUACUCUAGUAUAGAACCAAGUACACAAAUAACAAGAACAAAGAAUAAGUAAUUGAUUGAUUGCAUGAUCACUAUCAGCAAAAGCUAACCUGAAAUAGGGCCUUUGGAAGCUGUGGAAUUCCUUGCAGGAGUGCUUUGGCACGGUCCUUAUUUUGAGUAGUUAGGGUCUGUCACAAAGGAGGCAUCAACAAACUAAAAUUAGCCAUGGGUAAUUUAUUAUCUUCAGGGCAUUGAUAUUGAGACUUCAAGUUAACCUUCAACUCAGACAUGAAUUCAUACAACUGAUGUCUUGACAUCCUGGCCAGGUAGUGGGUAAGAGGGUCGUUUCCAAGUCCAUAUUGGACAGGUAAACCAUUUUGCACAUUUGCAGUUUGAGCUGCACCAAGAACACCAGCCAUCACAGAUGCAGCAUGUAUUGCUGGUGGAAGACCAACAGGCUGAUGAAGGCUGGUGUCUCCUACAACGGGAGUCGCAGUUGGCUGUUUCGGAGCAUCUACAGGAGGAGUCCAUCAAGACAUCAAUGUUAGCAUGCAAUGGCAUAAAAUCACAUUUGAAGUUUAAUGUAUACACAUAAACUACAUGAUCAAGAAAUUGCAACCAACCAACACAAGAUGCCAUUCCUGGUCCUCCACGACCCUGCAAUGCAUAAACAUAUGAAGAAUAAGUCAAAAGGCUUUUAUUGAGAAAUUUGAUUGGUUGAGAUUCCGUAAUGUGCAAGCAUCAAAUAAGAAUGAUCGCACUAACUCCAUUUCCAUGCUGAAGCUACUUAAUUCUAAUAAGUAAAGUUAGAACAUCUAGUGUCCUUCAUGUAGUUACAUAAUGCAAGAGUAUUUCACUAUGAUCUCUGGAGAAUUUAGAUAAAAAUUAGAAUCCCUGUGUAAAUAACUGUAUGAACCAAUCAACUGCAUCCAGUUGCAAAACUUUGAUACAUGUAUUCUUUUCUUGUGGAUGCACUCGACACCUUGGCAACAAAAACUGGCACGUACAUAUCAGCAUCAGUGACUGCUGCAGGUAGCAGAAAAUGGUGUAGCAAUUAUUUUAAGAGAAGAGGGAAUCUGAUGGUAACCCAAAACAGAACUGUAAGCACUUACACACACACACAGACACAUAAUAGUGCAAUUGGAUCAUUUCAGAAAUCAAUUCACUAAUAAUUCCAGCCCGUUUGCUGGCGCUCAUCACAAACUCAUCACAAAAGACAUAACUACAAAUGCAUUGGCCAAGCAUAAUUCUUCUACAAGACAAUCCUUCUCGGCUAUUUGCAGAGAACCUCACAUGUUCAGUACAAUUCUGGUGAAUAUCUCUCAAUCCAUGAUAUAUGCUUUUGUUAAGACAUCAGCUUUGGAACUUCACUAUUGUAAAACAAGUAAAACUGAGACAGCAGAGAUACUUUUGGAACCGCGAUACCAAAAAUGAUAAGCCAUACCAGAAAGAUAAUUUCACAAGGUAAUUUGGCAUAAAGAGCAUGUGUGCAUAUGUACAGCUUCCUAGCUGUACAUACAAACACAUGCCGUGCAAGAAAGUGAAACAGGAUACACGGGAUGGUUGGAGAAAAUACUACUAUUAUAAUUCAUGGGAACCAAAACCAUACAAGCUUUCAUCUUAACAUAGGACUUGCAAGGUGAGAAAUAAGGUUCUUCUACAGUAAUGAACUGAGGAUCUUCCACCUUUUCUCUAUUUCUGUCAGUGUUCCUCCCAUUUUCAGCAAAAUCAACACGUAACUGACGGCCAUUAACUUCAUAACCCUGAAGGUUCCGACGUGCACUUAGAGCAGUCUCCUCAUCCUUGUACUCGCAAAACCCAUAACCCUUCGGCUUCCCAGUUUCUUUGUCAACAACCAGCCUGCAACCAAUUUUGAGAAGUCAGUAUUCAGCAAAGUCAUAGCCCAACAGCGCACAUACAUGUAUCUUUGGGUUUUCCGUGGAAAAUAACUCAUAACUAGUUUUAUUCCAAAUGUCGGUAACAGUCCAAGAAACAUUUCUAUCUAAAUCCAAAAUCAUGUAUUAGCACAAUCUUUGAUAGCUUAACAAGCUAUAGCGCCACACACAAAACUUGUAGGGUUUGCACGAUUUCAACUAAACCUGAAGGAGACCACGGGGCCGACUUCCUCGCAUAUCUGCACGAGCUGCUCCUCCGUCGCAUCGUAAGGUAUGUUCCCAACUGCAACCAAAUUCAAGCAGGCAACACCCGCGUCAAUCAAACUCAACGAACCUACUAAGCCAACACAAAUUCAAGCAGGCAACACCCGAGUCGCACGAUUCGGAACUUCAAAGUAACCCACGGAAAGCAGACACCUUUCUCUGGGGAACCGGAAGGCGCGACGAAUGCGAAGCAUGAAAAAAAGAGGCAAACCCUAGAACAGUAAUGCCAAAACUAGAAAAUAAAAUUCAGCCCCAAAUCCAGCGGCGGAGCCAGCUAAAACGCGCUUCCUUCCGUCCGUCGAAAAUCUCACUGCCCGCGCCAACCCGGAGCUAAACCCGGGACGAAUAGAGGGGGCAACAACCGGACAAGCAACAUCAGCAGCGAUUGGGGGCCCCCAAAAUCGACGGAGAGGAGCCGGGUUUGCUCGCGCAUCCCGCGCAAGACCAAUACAUCUCCCGAAUUUCGCGGCGAGAGCUUCCGAGUUCCGAGCCUCCGGAUCGAACGGCGAGCUGGGGGGUGAGGAGGGGGGGGCGGGUUCGUGUGGGAGAGGGAGAGAGAACGGAGGGAGUGGGCGCGUACCGAAGACGCAGCGGUUCUGGGGGCCGGCGGGGGCGGCGGCCAUGCUCAGCAGAGGUCGCCGGCGGCGGCAAGGGGCGGCAUCGGCGCGCGGCUGCCUGCUGCUUUGCUAAUGCGGGGCGAUUUCAGGCAAGCCUGGUCUGGUGCUCUGGUCUGGUGCUCUGGAUGUGUUUGCGCGGCGCUCCAUCGCUUUAUAAAGAGUAAAAUGCACCCGAAAUCUCUGCUCUAUCGCGAAGGCAGUACCUAAUCUUUGAAAAUUCACGUUUAGAUUUUCAUUGUUUUAAGUGGUUCAUCACAGGUCCCUCGCCUGUAUGCGCAGCUCCGGCCGCAUGACGUGGCUGCCACCUAGGCUUUGGGCCCACAUGUCAAGCGACGACAUGGCAUUGCAAUCUUACAGAAAACCUCCCCACAUAUUCUCCUCUCAUUUUGCGACCAUCUGGAAUCUCCAAUGCGGCAGCUGUUGCUGGUGGCGGUGCCAUAGCUCCUGCCCUCCUUCCUCUCUUCAUCGUCGAUGAAGUCCUGGCGCAGGCAGUUAGGGUUGGCGGCGGUUGGCACAGGCAGAGGAGAGGAUGCGGGAGAGAACUGGAGAACGGAUGGGUGGACCACGAAAUGCAAUAGACUUACACGCGGGGGUUUUUCUAUAAGAUUGCAGCGCCACGUUGUCGCCUGACGUGUGGGCCCAAAGCCUAGGUGGCAGCCACGUCGUGCGGGACGGAGCUGCGCAUACAGGUGAGGGACCUGGGAUGAAUCACUUAACAAACAAUGAGAACCUAAACGUGCAUUUUCAAAGAUUAGGGACAUAUUCGACACCUUCGCGUAAGAAUAGGGACCUUGGAUGCAUUUUACUCCUUUAUAAAUAAGGAGCAAAGGGAGAGGGAGACUUGUUCGUUUCGUUUUGAGAGGUUUCGCUUGUUUUUUAUGAAGAAACUAAAAUGGAGGCAUUCUUCUUUUGGGAAAAUAGAAUACAUACUUGGUGCACUGGCACUUUGGCAGGUGGCAAUGGAGUUUGGGCACUGCUUUGGCAUGAUAUAUGAGAGACUAUGGGAAGGUUUUUUUCUGUCCCCGGGUAUACAUCAUCUUAAAGAUGUUGCAUCUCUUGAUGUACUAUAUUCCGCUCGUUCCUAAAUAUAAGUUGUCAUGUCGCCUAAGUCAAAAAAAUUAGAAUCUUAUCAAAUUUAUAGAGAGAAAAACACCAAUAUUUACAACUUUAAAUUAGUUUUAUUUAAUCCAUUACGUCAUGAUUAAAAUAUAUAUAUUAUAUUAUAUAUAAAAUUGAUCAAAUUUUAAGAAGUUUGAUUUAGAUCAAAGAUUUCUCAUGAUCAAAUUUUAAGAAGUUGUCAUAUCGCCUAAGUGUUGUAUCACGGAAUCUCUCAUUUAAUAUGUUGCUUAUUCAAUUUGGAGGACAACAAAACAUAGGAUUGCGAUAGGGUAACACUUGUCAUCCUUAGGAACUGUCCAACCUCAUUCUUAUGAAAAAAAAAGGUUGAACCUAACGUUCAUUUCCCUCCAAAAUCAUAUGAAAUCAAUGAGAUUCCUAAAGAAUCACUUUGCUUAUUUCCCACGGAAGGAAUGCAUCUACAGUGAAUUUUUCUAUGGAAUUCCCAACCCUUUGAUUUUCUAUGAAAAUCCUCUAAACACAAUAUUAUUCUACAUUUAAUUUGUGUCACUUUCAUCUUAUAUUUUAUUUAGGGUCUUGAGACAAGAGUUCUAAUCAUCGUAAGGUAUGACAAUAUUGUCUCAUUAUCCAUUUUUUAUUAAUCUUGAUGUAACAUUGGAUAUAUAUUUUUCCUAUGUAAAGGUUAAGGUUAAGAGACUGGUUGUUGGAGCAUAUUUAUCUCAAAACAGUAAUUGGGAGAGGCCUUAAUGCUUGAAGAUUUACCUACCAUUUCAAAUACUUAAUAAAAAGAGUAAGUUACUGUCUGUUUUUCCAUCUGUCUUUACUUAAAUGCUUUCAAAUGGGUUAGGUGGUUGUAGUCUGACAAUCAACGAGGCUCGUUUUAAGCUUCAGUUCCAACUUCCAGACAAACUUCUCUUUACACCAAUUAUAUAUCUUCAUACCAUACGAACUCAAUUUACAAAAUUCAAGGUCCUUCUCUUUGUUUUUACACUUCGCCACUUCUAGAAUCUCUGCGUGUGAAAGGCAUGCCCUCUUUCCAAUGGCCGUCUAGCCGACAGCAAACAUGUAUGGACGAGGGGCACACUAAACAUUGCCAAUACAGGUCGAAAGCAAAUUACAAAAAUACAGAACACGAAUGGCAACCAAAACCUGUCGAGUAUAAUUUAAACUCGUUUGUCAUGUAUCCCCCCUACGUUAUCAACAUGAACCUGUACAAUUUUAUUCUAAUAAAAAGAUUAUUUUUGGCCAAAAAAGAGAGAAAUAGAGAACAUGCAUACCAGCUAAGGAUGUAAACGGCAAGCUGUUUAAGCCCGUUUAGAUGUUAAUCAAGGCAAGAUUCAGAAAUAUAUUGUAUAAACAGUAAUAAUUUACAGUUCCAUGGAUAUAACAUGCACGAAAGCAACGUUUUGGGGGCAGAAUAGAACCAGAUCUGCAGCCACAAAAUCGGCAGUUAACUUACCAUGACUGUGCAAAAGAAUGGGUACAUAAUCUAAUCUAUCCAGCAGUUGCGAAACAUCAGCCAAAAUGAUAUGGAACACAACCGGUAAACUUGUAGUAUUCAUCCGGGGAGACAAUAUGUGUAUCUGUACAUGAGCAAGUUCCGUUAUUUUUCUUUUGCUGCAUAGACAUCUAUCAAGCAGGUUUCUGUCGCUGGCAGACUUCCCAGCAAAGCCCCACGGCACUGACCUCCAUCGCCACGUUAGUGACAGAAUAUGAGAAGACAUUGCCAGGCAAGCACAAUAAAAAUGAGACCUUUGGUCACGAGAAAAUAACAGAUGACGGUUGCUUGAAGCUAGAGUUGGAAGCGCCUGCUUUGAUCGAUGAUGUUAUCGUCUUAUCCGUCUUAUCCUUUGAGAUGGUGUUGCCACCGACUAGCUCAGAAGAAUUCGUCUGCUGGAUGUUUUCAACGUUGUGGUGUGGUCUGGCCCAAAUUUUGAUCAGCCCCUCACGGCAUAUGGUGACGAUUGAUUCACUGGUGAAUUCUAGGCCAGAGAGGGGAUCUGCAUGUACUCUGUGUGCGACAAGGGGCGAGAGCUUUGGUACAUCUCGCAUCCGUGGAGAAGGCUGAAGAACACCAGUCGGUGGAGGGCAUGCACUGUCCCAGUGUGCAGAAGGGCUCCCACUGCUAAAUGUCGGGGAGCCACUGGAAGGAUGUCGUAGUGGCACAGCAAUUUCAUCCAUAGCCAGAUCCCAAAGAAGCAGUUGGGUAUCCUAAGUGCAUGCAAAGGAGAAAAGGCAUUAUUUCCAGUACACCCAGUAGGAAAAGCAAUUGUAAAUGGUAGCUGAAGCAUGGACCACAUCAUAGUAGCACAUCCUCCGUUCGAGAUAUAAUCACAGGAUGUCAAGUUGUAACACUUGGUCAAUAAAAAAUAUAACGACACAUAAAACAGGAAAGACAAAAAACUUAGUUGCAGCAUAAAAUAGGACAGACAAUAAACUUAUUUGGGAGCUCCAUCCCCCGCAGGGAUCCUAGAACAAUUCCUGCCAAGCACAGUUCACUUCUGCUAGGCUUAUGCCGGAUGCCUGCCAGGAUUUGGACUCCCAGGUGAAGGGAAAAAACACCAGCAUGAUCAUGUGCCACAGCGUAGCGCAACUUUUUAGCAAAAAACUAGUGAUACACAUGCAUCAUGACUGAUCGACUCAAUAAAAAUGCUACUGAACUGUAUAGUCAAUGAUGCAUGCUCACUGUUCACAAAUGUAAAGUCAAUUGAUCAACCUAACAAGCAACAAUACAAAUUCAGACACUACUAGCAUUUCAAUCCUUAUCGGUAAUCACAAUUAUAAAAACACAUAUUAUUUCUAACGAUUACUAUUACGAUUCCAGGAAAAACCAUAAAAAUCUCAAAUUACGAUUCCAGGUUAACAAAUUUGUUAUUUUACAGAAACUUCUUGGUACCUGACCAACAGAACCAAAGCGAUACAUGACAUUAUCUUCUGCUUCAUCAGAGUUAGGUGGAGACCAGUAUGAAUCAAAGGCAACUGCACUAACCUGCGAACCAGAAAAGAAAUUUGCAUCAAAAUUGCAAGAUUCGAUGACACAUCGAUAUGCUGCUGAACAAAGAUAGUUGCAAUGAUGAAAUCACUCACCCAUGAUGUAUGCCCCUCGCCCCAUGCAACCAUCUUUCUGUCAUCCAUGCUCCAUACUUGCACAAGAUCAUCUUCCCCGCCUGAUAAUAAAUAUUUUCCAUCCGCACUGUAACAGGAGAGCACAAACGAAUUAUUAACAUCAUCCAGGUUCUUUAUUUUUACAUCCACAUCUUCCAGGCACUGUUUCAAGGAAGAAUGAAAAAAAAUGAAUAUGCAAUGGCUACAUGAAUAUACCACCCUGUACAGCAUAAAGCUUAGCAAAUGACACAGGAGGUUUGAAUACGUAGGAGAGUGUUUCUAUAUGGGCAUGCUGUUGUUGUACAUUAUUAUAUAUAGCUACUUCACAACUGUUGUGAAAUGGCACAAAUAAACCACACUUAUGUUGUGCCAAUAUGCAAAGGGAUAAGAGAUGCAAGUACACAACACUACAAAAAGGAUGUUACACAGUAUGGUCAAACUUUCUUCAAAUCUAUAAAUAGAAAAUAAGCCAAUAAUAUCAGGGCAGAGUGCCACGAGAGCUUAGUGAAUAAGAUGAGAAUUUGAUCCAAUGUGUACUUGACAACAAUUUCUUUAAUGUUGAUUACAUGACAUUUCAAGAGCUGGGGGUUGCAGGCGCUAUAUUACACAGUAAACACACUAACAGCAAUUAGCUAGCGCCUAGCAGUCAAAUAAGGCAAAGUAUUUACUGAGUCACCAAAAACACCAUUCUAGAGAAUGCUGCUGUAGUGAUCUAGUAGAUUAACAGUUUAGGGGCUAUAGCAAUACUAGACACACCAGUCAAUACUAGAGACACCAAAAACACCAUACUGAAGAGCCAUGGCUUCUAUAGUUAGACAUAUCAGCCGCUAUAACAGUUUAGGGGCUAUAGCAGCCUGCCACAACAUGCAACCAAUCGGAGCGCUACAGUAUAAGAUCUUUCAAGUUUCAACCAUGUGAGAAUUUGUUGUUAGGCCUCUACAAAAUGUGCCAUUAUCCGCCGAUAUUCCUUCAUCUUUUCUUACAAUCAAUUCAGAAUCAAUUUGUUCUUAUAAUCAGUUCAGUUAAUCAAUCCAACCUUUUGACCUCUUCCCUCCAAGAUCUAAUAAAAUCUUAAUUAGUAGCCUGCAAUUGUGAGUUCUAAUCAAGCAAUUAACAAACAUCAUUAUUUGAAAUAGUCACAUUGUGUUCUAUAAAAUGUAUGAUUAAACUUUAAGAUCGCUUAACUUGAUAAAAUAUAAUAGACAAGUACAGCUGCUAGAUUGCUAGACAAUAUCCAUCAUAAAAAACACUUCGCCACUGAUCCUCCACAUUGUCAUAUGUAAAAUUUGUCGGACAAGGGUAAUUUUACCAAAAGAAUGAGAUGGUUUUGUGUAACUCAGAGACUAUCAACAAGACUACAAUAGGUAAACCCACAGAGAAUCCUGUAAGUAAUUGGACAAUAACUGGAAUAGAUAUGGACCUUUGAGUUUCUUUUCUUUUCACAAAAUGUCGAUUUAAACAUGGCAAAGCAUUCAGCUUCUGGGGAAGUGCUGACAUGAGACAAAGUGGGUGCCAUAUAUCAGCACAACAGUACAUCGAAUCAGCAGUUUACCUCCAUGAGCAGCACAAAAGAGCACCAUAGUAACUUUUCCCACCGAAUAUUAGUUGUUCUUUCGCAAAAUCAAAUACCCUUAAAUAGCCUGUGUAUGAUUCAACAAAUUUAGUACAAUAUAUUGGCAACAGGAAAACUUUAAUAUAUAAAACUGUGGAUUCUCAUUCUUGGCUAUAGAAAUUACCAUCUCGCCCAACAGUUGCCAUGUAAGCUCCAUCCGGUGAAAAUGAAAUGGCAUUGAUUGCACCUUGACAAAUGUGCCAUCUUGCAAUAGGAUUGCUCUGCAUAUUAUUUACAUCCCAUAAUCAACCAUAGCAGCUAUACUUUUAAAAUUUAUCAUGUUCAGGAAGUAUCCAAAGAUGUUCAGGAAUUUCCGGACUAUCCAGCUAAUGCAUGUAAGGCCUUGGCUGUGGAACCCAACAGUAGAGGAGUGUCUAACGAAAUGAGUUUUCUGGACGUACAUGCAGAUUCUGUCUUCGAACAAGUAUCCAAAACAAGUAUUUCCCCAUUACAAAAUGUCAAACCAUCACCAACAUUAAUAACCAUGUUGGUGCAAUUUUUAGUAAAAGAUAUCGGAUGCCACACAUACAAAUGUAAUUUUCAACUGAAGAUCAAAUGCCGUAAGAUACCUUAGUGGACUUUGCAUGUGAAAUUGUCAGCUGACUUUGAUCCUUUACAGUUGGAAAUGUCCAAUCAGCAUUCCCAUCCUUGGACUGAACAUAAAAAAUAAUCAGUUCAAAUAUGACAUAACGAAAUAUGACUACUUUGUAACAAAGUUCGACAACAGUAGGGGCUCACUUUGUCAUACACAUACAGAUUUCCAUCAGCAUUACUGACAACAAAAAUGCCUUCACGCUCUGGCACCCAUGCAACACAAGUACACCGGCUGUAAAACAAAGGCAUCCAAAAAUCAAAUCUAAGAGUAGAUAAUCCCAUAACUUUACUAAGACAUGCAUCCACAGACACAACACAAAUUAUUGAUUUUCUUUCCCCAACCCUCCAAAAAGAUAUUUACAAAUUUCACAAGUAGAUUAGGUAUCACUGCAGCAAUAGCAUAACAGAGACUGCACAUUUAGCAAACCUUAAACAUGCAUUAAAACAGGAAUGCUUCACUUUCGAUGCUGACUAGGCAAGGAAGGUAUAUCAUUAUUCAGCUUCAGCUCUCCUUAAAACGAAAAACCAUGCUUGGACUAAAUGCUCCUCACGAAGCCCAGAAAGAAGACAGUAAUUGGACAACUAUUGGGCCCACCAAGGUAGGGCAGCUUUGUCUAGAUAUGCAUAUACCUAGACACGUUUCAGUGUGUAGGUACAUGAGUAUCUAGACAAAGCUGCGGCAAUGAAUUUGGAUCGGAGUGAGUACUACAGACUCAGCUUCGUCCAAAUGAGGUACACAAGCAAACUUUUGGGCCAUAGUCCUUAUCCACACAUAAAAGCAGCAGCCUAUUAAAGUCACCACUUCUAAUAACGCCAAAAAGAAAACUUUGGCUCAGACAGACUUUAUUAGGUAUUGUAAAACAAUAGUGUUGAGGGGGUGGCAUGAGACGGAUGUAUGCCAAUACUAGGAGUACUUGCAAGGUAACUCCGAUACACAUUUGCCAAUCACAUUAUGACAAAAUUUAUCACUUCCAUUUUCAUAAGAAAUAAAUAUACAAAUACAAACAUGCCUGUUGGCAGUUCCAUCUUUGUCUUUAUUGAUAAAAUGUUGAGAUGCGACAGGCUUCUUUCCAGGAUCUUGCAAUUGCUGUCUCAAUGACAUCGAGUAGACUGCACAAUGUACACGGAUAACGUAUAUCAAGACAUAGUUCAAUUGUGAGAGUAAAGCAUUCCAAAUAAGAAAGCACUGACCAUCUCCUGACCAUACUCCAACGAUCAGGUCAUGCCCAUCUUUGGCCUCAGGGUCAAAUGCAUGACAAAGAGGGUUUGAGUUGCUGAAGUGGAUGGACUUUACUGGAUCCUGGUGCAAUCAAUAACUUGAUCAGAGAACCAAAAGGCAAACAUACUUGUAACUUCAGCCUGCAUUCAACAAGGGAACUAGUACUUUGUCGUGCGAGUUGAGAUCACUCAUGAACAAUGUAUCCGCAGUAUUGAAGAUGAUGUACGUGCCCUUGCCGUCAUAAUUCGCCACAGCUUGCGAACCACUAACACUCGUCGACAUACCAACCCCUCCACCCACACGGCUGCUCCCUGAGACAGCCCUGCUGACACCAUUGCUCCCUGCAAAGCUAAGCGUCCGGCUCCCAUUCCCAGUGCCAAGCAGCCUCGCAGCUGCAGACCGCAUACCGCUGCUGGAACUUGGUGUUGAAGGUGUGGAGCCCUGCCCCGCCGGUUUCUCCUUCAAAUACGCCACGGUCAUCUGCCAUCAUCAAAACUUACUGAUAUAAACUUAACUUGACAUAAUAGAAGAAUAAUCAUCACAAUGAAGUCGACCGUGACCAAAUAAGCAAAUGACUAAAAUCCUUGGCUAUACCAUCAAACUCCACAAGAACAAACCCCACUAAAUUCAUCAGUAUUGUUCCAUAGAUGGUCAAUCGUAGUACAUAGAUGGUAAAUCGUACUACAAAUACUUAUCCGGAAACCCUGACUAAAACCAAUCAAAAUCCCAGCCCCACGUACACGCUCGAAUCCUGCCGCUGAUCAGGUCAACACCCAACGCCCCCGCCCGAUUCCCCAGCCCCAUCCAAUCCCAUCGAGAUCCCAGCCGGCCGUGGUACCAACCCGCGGGGCAGUCAGGCCGCAAACCCCGCGACGCGAUCACCCGGCGGGGCGGCCCAUACAUACCUCGGAGACGGUCUUGCCGCCGGCGCCGUGGUUGUAGUGCAGCACGGAGGGGGAGUGGGUCUUCUCGUACUGCAGCUUGUGCCGGCCCUCGGGGGUCUUGAAGUAGGUCUUCAGCCCGGGCGCGCCGCCGCCCCCGCCGCCGCCCGAGGACGACGACGUCGCCAUACCCCGCCCCACGCGUGCGCUCGCGGGUCGCCGCAGGCAGGCGGUCAGUCAGUCGGUCGGUCAGUCCCCCCGCCGCCGCCGCGAUCGCGUCCGAAGCAAUGCUCACGGCCGCGCGGUCAUCUCAUGCCGCCGCAGCUGCCGUCGCCGCCGCCGUGGUACCGAGGGUUAGGGUUUUGGGGGCGGUGGUCAGAUGGGGAUCGAUGGACGCGACGGGGAGGCGGUUUGAUUUGGGACGAGAGACGGAGAGAGAGAGAGAGACCUGGUGCUGGUCAGCUGGUGCGGUGGGCAGGAGGAGAAACGGAAGUGAGUUCUCUCUCUAUUUUAUUUUUCUUUGCGAGGGGAAAUCUUUGAAGAGAGAUUUGAUAAAAGUAGAUGUGGCAUUCGUUCUAUGUUAAAAAUUUCAAAACUAGUACGUAUUUGUUUUGCUAAUUACGACGAGGCAUGCUUGUAGGCAACAUAAGCACAGCCACCCAUAAGCAAAGACGUCCUAAUAAGACAUGUUAGAUCUGGAUCUAUUGGGUGUCGUCUAACUGGUUGGUUCGAGUCAUAGGAAUGACGCGGGAAGUGAACCGUCCGGAAAAGGAUAUUGUGAGUUUGUGACGUGAUCCAUGUAUUGUGGAGGGACGUUGACACGUGGGUUCGCCCAUGUCAGUGACCCCAUGUAAGGGUGUAUUGCGUCAGAGGAUCCACAUCAAUAGGCUCAUGGCAUCGGAAAAAUGACAUACAUGCUAGGUGUUAGACUUGGAUUUGAUGAAAAAAAAACUUACCUAAAAUGUGUGUUUAAUGAAAAAAUGUUCCGCUUUUGGUUACAUGAAACAUGUAGCCUCGAUAUAUGCGGUUUUGUGACAUAUUUUACUCAUAAAAGAUGAUAUUGAACAAAAAUAAAAACCAAUAAAAAUGAGGUCACAUGUACGUCUGUGUCAAUCCAUGAAGAGAUCUAGGAGUUGCGACCGAAUUGGUCAAAAAAAAUGCAAACAUUAUCGAUAGAGAUAUAUUUCUCAAGAUAGUCAUUUUAGUUGAAUAAUAAUCCCACGACCCCUUUUUAGACGAUACACGUCAAUCAACCGGAUUGUCUUGCGGCUUGCAUCAAUGCCUUUUCGGUACUUUCCCUCCCUCCCUCUCUCUCCUCCCCCCCCCCCCCCACAUCACCUCUUAUUCCCUGUAGCGCCAUGGAUGACAUCACUCAGAAUUACUUGAAUAGUGAUUCUCACGGUGUCCAGCUCGAGGAGAUGUUUGAACCAUGGAGAAUGUGUUUGUGGUUGCCAAGUCUGGCUCGAACGGUUCUCCGGCAGGGCUAGAUUCGUAACCAUCAAUUCGAACUGGUGAAGUCAUGUGCCAUCAUUGUUGAUAUCAAAAGGUUAUUAACUUGAGAUCUUCGAUACUUGAAGAUUGUUUCGAUAUAUUGUAAACCCACAUAUUACAGAUGCAUAGACGAGUUGUUGUGAUCAUUCCUAAGUCAGUUGUGAAAGGGUUACUUGUAUGUCGCAAAUGUAUUUCUCGAUGUUGUGCGUGUCAUGCGUACAUGUUGCAUGCGUUGUUUUUCAUGGCGUGUGAUGUUAAGCCAUCCUUAGAGCAACUCCAGCCGGCCCCCCUAAAGCCCCCCCAAAUGCCAAAUGGGGGCGCCGGCGCCCGAAAACCCACCCAGCCCAGCCCCCCAAUUCUAAAAUUUAGCCAGCGCGGCCCAAGAUUUUAGCAGGCGUCCCCAGGCCGCACCCUACUCUAGGAGGGUGCGAUCGGGGGCGCCAGUUGAAGCCAAAAGGCAAUGCGGGCCACACCUGCCGGCGAGAUAAUACAAAUUUCCCUCCAAAUUUUCGACGGCUUCCCCUUUUCCCUCCACUCCCCCCCCCCCCUGCUUGGGCGGCCAAUCCCGCCAUUUCCCCAUUCUCGCCACCGACACCACCUCAAAGCACCUUGCCGAAACCACCACCACCCAAAAAACCAUGCCGUCGAAGAGGUAUGCAGCGCCUCGUUCCACGCUACAGGCGACGCAGUGGCAAAGAAACCAAAGGAGAAGGAGCGGCCGCCUGGGAUGAGCAACGCCGACUGGGCGGCGGAUACAGGCGGAUUGUAUCCGCUGCAGCGUCGAGAACGCCUCACGCCGUGAACGGGAGAGGAAGGCCAAGGAGAGAAACGCCGACCUGGCCCGGCAGAUGGAGGCGCAGAGGGUCGCGGCCUCGACGUAGAUGGCCACGAACAAGGCUGGCAUUACUGCGCCGCGCCCGACAGACGGCAUAUGAUGAUCGCCGGGUCAUUGAUCGGGAGUUCGCGUCGGUGACCCACGAUCGCAACGAGUCUGGCUUGUCAAUGGCAUGGCAUUCAAGAAGAGGUGCGCCGGCGACCCGCAGGCGGCAGUAGCGCCCAAGAUCAGGUAAGCCGGCGCCUUUUUUCAGCUUUUGUGUCACUGAUUUUACAUUUGCCGCCCAGUCUUGUAGAUGGUCGCCAUAUUCACGGCCUUCCGAGGAUAACGACGGCGCCGAUUUCAAGUUCAUCCACGUCUUCGCAAGAAUUGAGAUGUGCGACAAGUGGACAGAGACGCGGAAUGGCCUUGCCAAGUCCGGCACCUACGACCUGAAAGCCGCUCCUCCGGCGGCAGUGGAAGGCCGGCCCAUCGGCCACAAGAAGGCAAAGGCAAUGAAGGAUGCCGCGCCGACUACGGAGCGCCUGUACACAUGCAUCGAGAAGUGCAUGUCCAACGCCGCCACACAAGCAGCAAAGAGGGACGAGCUCGCCGCCAAGAGGGAGGCGGUCGUGGCGUCACGGGGGGCGACGGUGAUCAAGAAGCAAGAUGAAAAGCUCGAGAUCCUCAAGGCGAAUGUCGCGGCAAAGAAGAGACGGGAGGACUUGUUGAUCUUGACAUGCGACACCACCGGCAUGGACGCCGAGGUGAAGGCGUGGUACAACAGCCAACGCAGGCUCAUUUUGGCUGAAGCGAGAGCGCCGACGUCGCCGCCCGCCACUGCAGCAACGGCCACCUCUACUGCAUCGACGCCAUCACCGCCCGAAACAGCAACUCCGGACACUUCUACACCACCGGCGGGCUCGGAAGUGCCAUCAGCGCCGGCGGAUGACGAAGGUGCCGAGUGAUUUCACUUUUAUUUAAGUUUGAUGUUAUUUUGAUCGCCGAAACUUGUGAUGAACUUGGACGAUUUGGUGAUUUGGGCCGGCCUGUGAAAAUGGCGGCAAAACGUUGUUUGAAUUGUAUUUUUUGGGGCUGAUGUUUGGGGGGUGCGGCUGGGUCUCAAACGAAGAGGGUGCGUCGGCGCCCCAUAUGGCCUAGCGCCGGACGCGAAAUGGGGUGGGCGAGUGGAGAUGCUGUUAGCUUAUUUUUGCUGGGAAAUGGAGAUUUGCUGCGCACCUAGAUUUAUCUUUCACAACACGGCCGUUCUCUGCCGUCAGAUCUCCUUUUGUUUUUUCUUUCAGGGAACUGCCGUCAGAUCUCCUUCCUUCAGCUAACCACUCCACAUAGACGGUCCAGAUCGACCCCUGACCAUUACAGGCUCCGGUCCCACUCGUCAGUGCUCCAGCGCCGCCUGCAGCAACUCUGCAAAGGCUCCCCGAUCUUGCUCGUGCUCUCUCCUGCUCUCCCCUCUUUCCCUCUCAGAUCUGCACGGCCCACUGCCCCAAGCCCCGGCGAUCGCCGGAGCCCCCCACCACCGCGGAGGCAGGCGGGCGGCGCGAUGGACCUCCUCAUCGCGCAGAUCACCACCGACCUGCGCUCCUCGGACGCGCUCCGGCAGUCGUCCGCGCUGCUGCAGGCCCUGCAGCAGUGCGCCGCGGGCCGCGACGUGUCGGCGCUCGCCCGCACCGCCGCCACCGAGAUCCUCGCCGCGCCCGCCUCGGCCGUCUGCAAGCGGCUCGCGCUCGACCUCCUCCGCGCGCUGCCGCUGCCCCCCGACCUCCUCGACCCGCUCCUGCUCUCCUCCCUCCGCUCCGACCUCUCCUUCCCGGACCCCGACGUCGCCGCCUCCUCCAUCGCAUCCUUCCCUUCCCUUCCGUCGCACCUCCUCCCCACGCUCCUCUCCUCCGCGCACGCCGACAUCGCGGCGGCCCUCUCCUCCCCCGCCGAGUCGCUCCGCCUCGCCGCCGUCACGUCCCUCUCCUCCCUCCUCCCGCGGGACGACCUCGCGCUCAUGUGCUCCACCAACCCUUCCCUCAUGGGCCACGCCACCACCUGGUGGGGCCGCCUCGCCGAGCUGGCCCUGGACUCUGCGGACGCUGUGGCGGCAGCGGCGUUUGAGGCGCUUGCCCGGCUGUUCCAGGAGCUGGAUGCGCGGCGCAUGAGCCGGCUUGCUGGGGACAAGCUCGUCGACGGAGAGGGCGCGCUCGCCGUGCGUGCUCAGUGGGCGGCUGAUGCCAUCAACUUUAUCUGGUCCCGGCGGAACAUGCUCAUUGCCCGUUCCAUGGUGAUGCCCGUCGAGAGCUUCCGUGUCACCGUGUUCCCUCUUGUGCACGCGGCAAAAAUGGUUGCUUCCGGCGCGGUGAACACGCUGAGGCAGAUUGCCAAACCAGGAGACGCUACGAUAGCUGACACCGUGGAGGCGAGUGCGGAGAAGUUGGUCGGGGUUUCGGACAUCGUCUCGCACUUGCUGCCUUUCCUUAGCUCGCUGGACCCACCACUGGUGUUUGAGGUGGGGAUCAAUAUGCUGUCGCUCGCAGAUGCGCCCGGAGGCAAGCCGGAGUGGGCUUCAGGUGCUAUUAUUGCAAUUUUGACACUAUGGGACCGCCAAGAAUUCUCAUCGAUGAGGGAGACGAUUGUCAGGGCUGUUGUCGCAAAUCUCCAUUUGCUGGAUCUUGGAAUGCAGGUACUAAAUCAGUCCAUUUAUGAUAGCAACAUACCUUAGUCUGAUCACCUUUAUAGUUGUUUGCUAAUUUCCUGUGGUAAUGCUAUUGAUUGCAUUAUUUGCCCACUGCCAGUUAGGAAGCUUCUGGACUAUGGAUCCAUGAAGUGUGUGUUUGUUAGUAGUAGUAGCCAAAUUUGUAUCAAGUAAUAUAAGUGGUUUCUAUUUGUGUGCCAAUAUAGUGAUUUACUGUCAUUAGUUAUAGACAAUCUAAAGUGUAGUUGAAGUAUAGCUGGCCUUUCGGUUACAUAAGAUCUUGUUUGAAUUGGUGUCUGUAAAAUUAUUACAACCAUUCAUACAACUCCACCAUUUGCUGUUGUUUUUAGUGCACAUGCAUGAAAAUACACGUAUUUUGACUGAGCUAAAUUUAUAUUCUCAAUCAUCAAUGUCAUCAUGGGUUAUUAUUGCAUUCCUAACUUCUGCUCCCAAUGCUGACAUUCUUGUUUGAACUAAGCAAAAUUCAGGGUUAUCCCAUACCAUCUCCUAUUUCAGUCUUAGGGCAAAGAAUUCAAAAAUUCUAUUUCAUUGUUGUUGCCCCAGUGAAUUAAAUGCCACUUUAGUAGGUUGAACUUCUAUGUGCUGAUUUUGUCCAUUUCACAUAUAACCAUCAUUCAAUUCUGCUAGUGUAGCAUAUACAUUUAUUCAUUUGCAUCAUUUGAUGUCAUCUCUGAAAGAUGGAGAGUACAAAUCUGCUAGUGUAGCAUAACUAGUUUGUCUGUAUAUUCCCCAGCACCACCUUAUAAUUUACAUAGUCAUAUGUAUAUCGCAAAUUAUAUUUACCGUGCUCGCUUUUAAUGUGUUCCAUCAUUAUAGCAGCCAGCCAGCCACAACUAAAUGAGUAACGUUAUACUUCUGUCCUGUCUUAUCGGCUACACAGUGAUUUGUAAUGUCAUGAUAGAUGAUAGAUUAUUCAGUGAGCAACUUAGGUUCAUAGGUGAUAGAAUGUUGUUCGCUGGCCAUUGAUUCAAAUCCGACACAUAAGUAUUUGUGCCUUCAGAAAUUUCACUGCAUUUCACAUAUAAUCAUCAUUCAAUUCAUUGAUAUCAAGUGUAUCAUAAUAUUGGCAUCUUCUGUAUCAAUUAAUGCUGGUAUAUUGCACGCAUCUGCACGUGCUAAAAUGAUGUAAUAUUAUAAUGUCAACUUCAAUAGGACCUGGGAUGCAGGGGUUGGGUGGUGGUGGUGGUGUGGUUUAGAGCCAUACUGCAGACAGUUUUUGCCAUAAAAACCAUGGAAGUUCAGUUCCGACUAUCUUAAUCCUUGUGUGAAGAUUGACCUCUAGUUAUGCCAAUAUAGUUGUAGCAGACUCAAGUACCAAAUAUAAGAGUGAGGAUAAAGACAAAAAAUACAAAAUAAAUAACGCAUGUUGAUCUUUUCAACAAGAGAUUGCAAAGUAAUUCGUCCUGCUAGUUACUUACGGGGUAGCUGACUGUUUAUGUACAAUGGCUACAUGUUUAUGCAAAGUUUUUCCUGAAACACAAGAAUCUGCAAGCAUAUCCUGAACAUGCUACUCUGCAGAUGCGGUGGAACAUCCUUUCGUUCUUUUCCAAGCUCCCCUCAAAAACUUAGUACCAACUGAUAGCCUAUUCAGCUUUUCUGUUCUCUUCCUGAACUGAUGAAAGAACAAGAUCAAGUAGGGAAAACCUGGGCCCUGGAAGAAAAUCGUAUUAGUGGUAGAGCUUGUUUGGAUCAUGUAUACAUCAUAUUUUUUUUGCAUAAAAGUCACAACAUCAUACAGGCCUUGAACUAGUCAUGACUGUUUUAGUAUUUGUGGAUAAAAUUUGCCAGGAAUAUUGGCUGCACAGUUGAAAUUUUCCUUAUUCUCUUGCAAAUUUAACAAUGUCCAAUCUAUGCUUGAAGAUUUGAGCUGUCCAAAUCUAAAGAUGUUUGCAGAUAAUUACCAGUUCUUACCUUUAUGUGCAUAACUUGUAAAGAAGAUAGGAUACUGAAAGGGACAUUUUGAUUUAUUGAACAAGAGAGUUGUGCAAAUUUAUGUUCAAGUUUUAUUUAUAAAAGCAUGUUCUGCGAUGCAGGUGUCUCUGUUCAAAAGGCUGCUUCAGAUGGUGAAAAAUUUGAGAGCAGAAUCAGAUCGUAUGCAUGCCUUGGCAUGCAUUUGUCGGACCGCUCUUUGUGUUGAUCUUUUUGCAAAGGAAAGUGUACGAAGAGGUCAGAAGCCCGUUCCUGGAACAGAUGUGAUAUCACUUUUUGAGGAUGCGAGGGUGAAGGAUGAUCUAAACAGCAUAACGAGCAAAAGCUUGUUCAGAGAAGAGUUAGUUGCCUCACUGGUAGAAAGUUGUUUCCAGCUCUCUCUUCCACUACCCGAGCAGAAGAAUUCUGGGACAGAGAGCAGAGUUAUAGGAGCAUUAGCCUAUGGAACUGGUUAUGGUGCAUUAAAUUGGACGGAACCUGCUUUGGACGUGGUGGAAGUUUGCAGACCUUGUGUUCUUUGGGACUGUGAUGGUCGUACCUAUGCAAUUGAUUGCUAUCUGAAGUUGCUUGUAAGGCUUUGUCAUAUAUAUGAUACUAGAGGUGGUGUAAAGACAAUUAAAACUGGUGCAUCUCAAGAUCAGAUUCUUAAUGAGACUAGACUUCGAAAUUUGCAGCUACAGCUUAUCAGGGAUCUUCGUGAGGUUAUGAUCCAUCUCAUUAUUUUGUUUUGAUGGAACGUUUAACAUAUUUUGUUCUGAAUUUGAAUACCAGUUGAUGUUUUUUUUCAUUACUAACUCAAUGUAACACACUAGUUUUAUUCAUUACCAACUCAAUGGCACCUGCUUUCUCAAGUCUUACCUGUGUUUAGAUCUUGACUGCGUUUUCGUUGUACACUUCCAUUCAUCUUCCAUUGCAAAUACUUAUAACUUAAACUGUGCCAUUUUGUAUAGAUGCUUUUCUAGUUAGAGAUUAUCGAUAGACCAAUGGGGUCAUAAUACCCGAGUUCCUAUGUGCACCUUUUUUUCCAAUCCAGAUUGGCCUAGAAAUUUAUUAAAUCUGAACAAUUCUUUCUUUGCAGGUACAUACCUCAAGAAUAUCAUCACGGUUGAUAUGGGCAAUUUCUGAACACUUUGACCUUGAAGGUCUGGAUCCUCUUUUAGCUGAUGACCCUGAGGAUCCUCUGAAUAUUAUCAUAUCUAACAUGCACAAAACUUUAUUCAACACCGAUUCCUCUGCCACUACAUCAAAUAGGAUACAAGAUGUGCAGGCUGUCCUCAUAUGUGCUCAACGUUUGGGAGCCAGAAAUGCAAGAGCAGGCCAGCUCCUCACUAAAGAGUUAGAAGAAUUUAGGUCAAGUACCUCAGCUGAUUCUGUCACUAAGCACCAGUCGCGUUAUGUCCUGCAAAUAAUAAAGUAUGUGACGAAAAAUCCAGAUAACAGGUGAGAGUUGUUUCUGGAAACUAAUCAUUUUGUCAUUGGGUUGCAGUAUCUGCAAAAAUGCUGUAGCUGAAAAGAAGAAGAAGAAAAACUCUACUAGAACAUGCAUUUCGAAAAAUAAUUAUCAUGUCUAACUAUCAAUAUUUUAUCCAGGUGGGUUGGUGUGGGUGAUGCUACAGGAGAUUACCCAUUUAGCCACCACAAGCUUACGGUUCAGUAUUCAGAAGCUGCUGCUGCACAAGAUAGGAAAUUGGAGGGAUUAGUUCAUAAGGCCAUUCAGGAACUUUGGAGGCCAAAUCCCAGCCAGUUAACUCUCCUACAGACAAAGGGGAUCGGUGCUUUGCACAAAGAUCUUCCAAAAGCAGGCACUUUGACUGGCAGCAGCGAUCCAUGCUACAUCGAAGCAUAUCAUUUGGCGGAUCCAACUGAUGGCAGAAUCACCCUACAUCUAAAGGUAUGACCUGAUUGAUGAUCUGUUCCUUGUACAUUUAACAGUAUUUCUACUGAUCUGUACUAUAUCAUGGUUGUUAAACACUGAUUAGGUUAGGGACAAUUAUGGACAUGUGGCAAGGGUAGUCAUCAACCAAACAUGCCCAUAUAUGUCUUUAUCGCUCCAGCAUAGUAUUUGCAUUCCGUCACCCAGUAGAAGGAUUAGAAGUGAAUACAACUAUUUGUGGCUCUUAUAUAUUGCUUUGCUGUAAGCUGUAGUUUUCUUUGACUUUGAGCUAUAUGCUUAUUAUUUUUUACUAAUAUACACUUUUGCAGAUUUUAAAUUUGACUGAGCUGGAACUCAACAGAGUGGAUAUCCGAGUUGGGCUCUCUGGAGCAUUGUACUAUAUGGAUGGAUUUUCCCGCACCGUUCGGCACCUGCGUAAUCUUGUUUCCCAGGUGCCUCUAUGAAUCUAGAUUUGCUUAUUUACUAUAUGCUUUUGUUUAAUUUCAAUUACUAUAACAAUAGUUUAUACUCGUAAAAAAAGUUUAUACUAUUUUAGAAAAUCAAACUAAUGUUAAUAGUUUGUUGUUAGCUAGAAUUGGCACACAAAUCUAGGAUCACAGUUCGCUUAGAAAUAUAUUGUUUGAAUAUAGUUUACAGGAAACUUUUUCUUCUUCAGCCAGUAAACUUCUCAGUCUAUUUCCUUCUAGAACUUAACCAAGAUCUCCCAACGUAGUAUACCUGACUAGCAAGUUGAAUAUCACUAUUAUGGUGCACACUGGAUAGAAUGUGGUUAUUGGGACUAAUCAAUUCUACUAUCAUGAUGUUGGUCUUCCGUCUGUCUCUAUUGCUAUGUUAACUAAGGCUCUGUUUAGCAUUGCGGUGGCUUCGAAGUACUUAACAACUAGUGACGGUAUCUUUUUUUCCUGACAAGUCUUGCAAAAACAGUGAGAUAUCCCAGAAAAUAAAAUAGAGAUAAUAAAUGUUGUAUAGUUGAAUCAGCACUCCAUCACAUAUCAGCUAAUCCAUAUUUGAAUCUAAACUAUGUGGUAAAUGCCUCAUAAUUCUGCAGGAUCCAGUCCAAAGCAGUGUCACUGUUGGAGUUUCACAUUUUGAGAGAUGCUCUCUCUGGGUUCAAGUCUUGUAUUACCCAUUCUACGGAAGUGGAGGAUCCGCAGACUAUGAAGGAGAUUAUGCAGAAGAGGACUCGCAGAUGACAAGGCAGAAGCGCUCACUCCGGCCAGAGCUUGGGGAGCCAGUUGUUUUGCGGUGCCAACCUUACAAAAUCCCUCUCGCUGAACUUCUCUUGCCAUAUGAAUGCUCUCCGGUUGAGUAUUUCCGUCUAUGGCCAAGCUUGCCUGCCAUGGUCGAGUGUACUGGAACAUACACAUAUGAAGGCAGUGGUUUCAAGGCCACUGCCGCUCAGCAGUAUGAUAGCUCUCCUUUCCUCAGUGGGUUGAAGUCAAUUUAUUCUAAGCCCUUCCAUCAAGUCUGCUCUCAUUUCAUCCGCACAGUUGCUGGGUUCCAGGUAAAGCAUUUGAUAAUCUUAAUCUCUUAAAUGGCUUUACACAACUGUGUUGACUCGAUCACGUGCACAACUACCAAUUACUUUAGGUUAUAACUCAUGAUUCUUCUACAGUUGUGUUACGCUGCAAAGACUUGGUUUGGUGGGUUUGUGGGCAUGAUGAUCUUCGGUGCAAGCGAGGUCAGCCGGAACGUUGAUCUGGGUGAUGAGACAACCACAAUGAUAUGCAAAUUCGUCAUGCGCGCAUCUGAUGACUCAAUCACAAGAGAGAUCGAGGCGGACCUACAGGGCUGGCUGGAUGACAUCACUGACGGUGCCGUGGAAUACAUGCCUGAAGACGAGGUAAAGAGCGCAGCUGCUGAGCGGCUGAAGAUAUCCAUGGAGAGGAUAGCCCUGCUCAAGGCAGCCAAACCAAAGGUACCGCCUGCGAAAACCGAGCAAGAAGAGGAGGAGGAGAAAAAGAAGAUGAGCGAGGAGCUGGAGCUGGACGGGUUCGGGAACCCCAAGGGCCCCUCAACGCUCUCCAAGCUCACGGCUGAGGAAGCCGAGCACCGCGCUCUCCAGGCGGCCGUGCUCCAGGAGUGGCACCAGCUGUGCAAGGAGAAAGCACUGAAAGCGCAAUGAGGCCGCUGCCAGGUUUCCACUCCCGCCUGUACAAUUCUGUAUCUGCCUUUUUUUUUUCCAACCCCAUUUCGAUUCUUCUCGAGUGUGUCAGUGUGUGCGUGAAUCCUGCUGAUUUUGCUGGUGUAUUAUUGUUACCCUCCGAUUUGUUCAUUAUAUUCAUCGAUAUAUAUAUACUGUUGUAUCACGAACGAACUCUCUUCUCUUUUUUCGUAACAUAGCUCGAAGUUUUUGCUGUGAACUCAUGAUUUUUAUUCCCUUGCCCAGUUUCCAUGAUUUCUUUGAAGUACAAAUUAUUUUCUUGAUGUUAAACUACCGGGAACGUGGGCAGGGACCUAUUGCUCCCUGGCAGAUGGUUCAGGCCUCUCAGUGACCUAGUCAGGAUAUUGAGCUACGAGGAGGAGUGCCGCUGCCGACGCCGCGCUCUCUUUAUUUUAUUUGUCCUUCACGUGAAGAUCUCGAAAGAAACUGGAAACAGACGGCCAGAUGACGCCGGAAGCAGCGAUAGAAGCGGAUCAUGCGGAACAGGCAAGCCCUGUCCGACGGGGGCAAGGUAGCUUUGCUGUCGUAGCCACCAAUCAAAGGAGCAGCCACCUUAGAAUUGAGAGUUUCCUCGCCACAGCAUAAAUUACAGUACAUAAGUAUUUCCCGAUCCUUCCCAUUCCAAGCAUGGAUGUCACGCACUGUAGUAUUGUUCUAUUCGUUUUUUGAACUCUCUCCUGGCAAGGUGAGUUGUGAGAGGCCAUAUAGUCAUGUAAAAAUAAGUUAGAAGACUACAAAGGUGUCAAACGGUUGAAGUGCCUCUUUUAUAAGGGAAAGUCUCUUGUAACGAAGGGAAGGUUGUUGGGGGCAGGAGCUAGCAAUCAACUCUAAAAUAAAUUCAUGUAUAUUUCGAUGCAAAGAAAUACCGUGCCAUGCCACGUCCGUCACUUCAAUUAAGUCGGAACUUAAAUGUGCUAGCUCGAUCCAAUUCAAUGUUCUCGGCGUCGUGUGACGGCAGGUAAGAGAAAUAAGUGAUGGAAUACUUGGUGCUUGGUUAUUCCCACACUUGCUUGUAUUGUGUUUGUGGUUUAUGUCUACCGUUCCAUUUCGGAAACAUGCGUCUGUACCGAAUAGACUUGUUAAAAUACUACUUCCCCCGUUUCAUAAUUCUCGUCGAAAUAUUACAUGUAUGUAGACAUUUUAAAAAAUAGAUAUAUCCACUUUUGGACAAAUUUGAGACAAGAAUUAUGGAAUUAUUUCUUGCUUAAAAGCAAACCAUAAUCACUUUCGUUAUUCCAUCACCAAAAUGGUCAAUAAAGGAAAUAACCUUCAAAGCCUAAGGCCGAGUAUUUUAUCGAUCGUUCACUCCCCGAGCCCAUUGGCCGGCCCGUCGCUUUCCCAGUUUCCAUACUCCCGGGUCCAGAGCACAUCACGGCCAGUGAGGGUUCACUGAUCUCCUACCUCCACUCAAAAAGAGACGACGUCAUGGUUCUGUAGCCUAACCAUGGCUACCUCCACUCAAAAGAGAAGGGGAAGGAAGGACCUCGGCACGGAAUAUCUUAUCACGGCGCCUUACAAAAACCACCAGAUAGCUGAAAAGACUUAUCAAGCAGAUCACAUGCACAAAUUGUGCCAUGCAUCUUGGUAUGGGAAAUCAUGUGAAUGGCCAGAAAAACUAAGUGAUUCCGCGCGUGCGUGUUGCUGCGGAAAUUUGUAGCAACAAUUUUUGUUUAUAAUGAAAUAAAAAAUGUCUACAAAAAUAAACCAAGAAAAACAUUGAACCACCAUUCAGUCCUUCAGGCAAAGCAAACUCCGGCAAACUCACUAAAGAAACUCUCAUGCAAUUCCAUGGCUCGAGUUAUAUGAACUAACCUAUGGGGAGAACCGAAAUCUAUUUGGCUUUAUUUGGAUGUAGACAUUGUGAUGCUUGGCAUUGCAUUGGCUCCAAUUCCAAUAUCAUAGAAUAUUGAUAUUGAGAUCGAAUGUUAAUAUUUCUGUUUGGAUGUCACAAUACGUAUAUACAUGUGCACAUUAAAUGAUUAUAGAAAUUUCGAAGAAACCACUCGCAAUCUGUCAACCGAAUAAUUGGACAAAGUUUUUAUCAAUCCGCACAAAGACGCAUCAACCCAGAAUUUUGCAGCACACAAAAUUCUCUCAGCAGAGAAUUUCUUAACACAAAAUAAUAUAAAGUCUUGGGUUGCUUAUUUCAACAGAUACAAAAGGCUCAUCAUCUGUAGACGAAACACAAAACAGAAUUAAUUUACUCCCUCUGGCCGGAAUUACUUGUCGAAUUAUUACAUGUAUCUAGAGUUUUUACACAUAGAUACUGUUAGAAUAAUCUUGUUGUAUGAGUCCGUUUAGGACUGGUCUGUCCUGAGUUCGAGUAGUACCACUAGUACGAGUCUAAUUAGCUUUGCACACUAAGUCCUAGUCCUAUUAGGAUUAUGUGAUUUUGGGUGUAUAUAUAGAUGCACCAGGGUCAGCUUUUGUACCGUGGGAUUUGAGAUAUUGAGAAGAAAUAAAAAGAGAGGCACGACAGGUGCCUCUGGCCAAAUAAAUUCCCAAUCGUGUGCGUCUUUAUGUGACUGAUCUUUGGGCAAACCCAACAUUUGGUAUCAGAGCGAGGUUAAAGAUUUGAAGACGCGCUUGCCCCCGGGAGGCGAUGUGCUAGCGCCUCGGGGCGAGCAAUCAGCGGCGGAGCGGUGUCCGCGAGCGGGCAAACGGUGCCAGUGCGCGAAGAGGUGUUCAGCGGAUUGGAUCGGGCAAUCGGUGGCUGUGCAGUGGAGCGACGUUCAGCAGAUCAGAUAGGACUAUCGUCACAGUGGACCGAUCUCCUAGUAACGGGAGAUCAUCCUGAUCGUCGGAAAGUACUCAACAUCGGGUCAAACUACGUAUGUACGUCCAGGUCAGCGUCUGUGAGUCGUGGUUGUGUCCAAGUGCUCGUCUGUGUGGGACUCUGUUGCAGCGGAAGUACGUCACGGUCGAAGGGCUGUCCAGUGAGGUGUAUCACUGAGGGUGAAGACGUGCGUGCAGACAAGGUGGCGGGUGUCAUCUGUGUGUCUCGACGAGAAGACGGAAGCUCAAGCGUAUAGUGGGGCGGUGUACCCGUGAAGGUGAGUCUCUUCAAUGAGGACAUGUCUCUACGUGGAGCUAUGGGUUUAGCUAGCACGUAUUGCGCUAGGUGUGGACGGUGUAGUCCAUGCGGGAGCUAGCGUGACUGGGAGUCUGGAUCAUACGUUGAGUGUAGUCAACAAGUCGUGAAGCUGCGGAGAGUCAAGUUCAGGGGGAGCACGAGGAGACGGCAAGUCAAGAUUAGGGGGAGAUUGUUAGAAUAAUCUUGUUGUAUGAGUCCGUUUAGAACUGGUCUGUCCUGAGUUCGAGUAGUACCACUAGUACGAGUCUAAUUAGCUUUGCACAUUAAGUCCUAGUCCUAUUAGGAUUAGGUGAUUUUGGGUGUAUAUAUAGAUGCACUAGGGUCAGCUUUUGUAACGUGGGAUUUGAGAUAUUGAGAAGAAAUAAAAAUAUCGUGCCUCUAGCCAAAUAAAUUCUCGAUCGUGUGCGUCUUUAUGUGACUGAUCUUUGGGCAAACCCAACAGACACAUCCGUAUUUGAGCAAAUUUGAGACAACUAAUACCGGUCGGAAAAAGUAGUAUAUAUUAAAUCCGAUGUGUAAAACGUUUCAUGUGCGACUAUUCAAGAAUAUAAGAAAGAGCCAAAAAUAUUGCUUAGUUACUUACAAUAUAUAGGUUAUUUGGUAAUUUGGAAUUGGGGGAAUUGCGCCUGCCGUACAGCAUUGGCUAGGCAUAAUGCAAUGUAUACAAGAGGAAAGGAAGAGAAAAAAAAAAUAGGAAAGCACUAAAAUAGAAGAGGAAAAAAAGAAGGAAAAUCCAACAGAAGCCGAAGCGGGAGCAGAUACGUACUCCUAGUUUCCUUUUUUUCUCCCUAUUUUCCUUUUUUAAUAUAGCUUUUAUAGUACAAUAAAGAGUACCACAGGUUUUGAGGCAGACUUUUCAAUGAGCCCCCAUUUUUGCUAAUUUGUUCAUAAAAUCACACGUUUUGUGUCCAAUUGUCUCACAUCACCCAAAACAACGGUUUAAACGCAUUUGACAGUAUUUCUUACAUGUGGGUCCCGCAUGUAAGGCAUCACGUCUUUUUCAUUAGACCCCUUGUCUUUUUCUUUUUUUCCUCGUCCCCUCGUCUUCUUCUGCCUUGAGCAUCUUUUUUAACUGGCCAUGGGAAUUUACCCGAUGCAGCGCAGCCACCGCAAGCAACAGACGCACAAACACGCACGAACCCCCUUCUCUCUCUCGAUCGAUUCAUCCGGCUACUCAGUGGCGUGCGUUGCCAUGUAGAGAGUCUAUGAGACCAUCCUAGCUAGAGGUGCAUGGCCAUGGCCCUCCCUUGCAAUUGCACACGUACAGAUCGACCGGUGGUCCUUGACGAGAAAAUCCAAGCAUCCCACGAUACGGCAGCAUGUACACCAUGUUCUGCAUCUCCGGGGAAGCUGGUACGUGCUCACUGCUCAGUGGCGGCAGAGCAACACGGGAUGGCGGAUUCCGCCAGGAGACGCCGACUGCCUGCCGUCCCAGAUCAAGUGCACCCAACGUUGUGCACACCGAGAGCGCCCCAGCUACCGUGUAGGUGUAGCAAUCCGGCCUCACUUCCUGAGCCUGCAUCGCAAGGAAGAGCUCCAGAGCCUCCCGGCGAUGCCCGUUGGAAGCGUAUCCCCCAACAGUAGCGCCCCAACCUCCGCCACCCUCCACACACCGCCUCCCCGGUGCCAAACUGCCAACAUCCGCGACCCGCGCGCAUGCGGUCAGGAUCCGCACGGCCAUGAAGUUUUCCGGACGCAAGCCGCCGGCGAACGCGUCCCUCGCAACGGCGACAGCUUCCCUGACGCGCCCCGCGUCCAUGUACGCGGCGAUGAGCAUGCUUCAGGAGACCAUGCCGGGGCACCGCAUUUUUUUUUCCGAAUCGGGCCUCUCCCCCAUUUUCCAUUCCAAAACGAAACGGAAACAACAAAGUCUUACAAUUUUACAAACAAAGAAAAGAGAGGGGAUAGAGAGGAGAAGCGGAUUCGGGCACCAGCAGGAAACCCACUGUAACGAGACCGUCUCGGUCAGGUUACUAUGGGGCAAAAACCUGCUGCCACCAAUUUAGAAAAACUAGCCUAACCCAGAGUAUCAACACAGUUCAGUAGCACAAAAGUUUCAUCGCCAAAUUACAAGCCCACAACGGAGCAACCGACCUAGCAAGGCCAAGACUGAACCAAAGUCAGAACCCACAAAGUUUUUACGCUGCCACCGGAUGAUGUAAAACUUCAGUCGCCUGUCUUAUAGCCUGGUGACGCCGCCUUGCUGAACCGUAGCUUGCAAUAGACUAGUUGCGCCAUCCAUCAUCCCCUGCCUCAGCGUCAGGUUCUUCUGCAGCUCCGCCCAGUAACGCAGGAAAGAACACAGUACAAAAACCACAGAAGUAGGAUGAUGAACCACUUUCUUUUCGAAGCAAACAGCAUUCCUAGUUUUCCAUAUAGCCCAGCAUACAGCUCCCAGGCCCUCCACAAAGAUAGUUUUCAACCCAGGAAGGAAUCUCUUCACCCAGACAAAGUACUGCCACAAGGAUUGAGGAACUAAAUCAGUCCCAAGUGUAUAAGCAAUACAUCCCAAAACACACUUCGCAACAGUGCAAUCAAAGAAUAGGUGCACCAAGGUUUCAUCUUUAUGACAGAAAAGACACUUAGCAUUCCCAGGUCAAGCUUUUUUGACCAUAUUAUCUUUAGUGAGGAAAGAGUUUAAAAAUAAUUGCCACAUGAAAAUCUUAAUUUUCAGUGGCAGUUUAGCUUUCCAAAUAAAGGUAUAGUUAGGUCCCACAAUGUUCUUACACAAGUGAUUAUAGGUGGAUUUAACAUUGUACUUCUUCUUGGAAUCCCAUUUCCAUAGAAAGGUAUCAGGUGCCAGAGAUAACCUAGUGUUGUCCAAAAUAGACACCACUAGACAGCUAAGGAACCAUGCAGCCAUCUAGAGAAGGGCCUGCAAGUUGUUUUUAAGAUAAGAAACAGACACAUCUUUGUGAUCACAAAAAAGAUAAAGUUCAGGGAAUCUGGCAAACAGGGGUUCAUCCCCAUACCAAAUAUCUUCCCACAAACGCACCAUAUCCCCAAAACCAACCUCACAAUACCUCCCACUAAGGUAAAGUUGCUUAACAUUCAUAAGAUCUUUCCAACAGGAGGAAUCUCCAAUUCUAACAGUGACAGAAGCAAUAGACAACCCCUGCAAGUACUUAGGAGACACAAUGUCCUGCCACAUGUCUGAUUUAGUAUCCAGACGCCACCACCACUUACACAACAAAGCAGUGUUAAAGGUUUCAAUCCUCCUAAAACCAAGCCCCCCUUUCUCUUUAGGUCUACAGACUCUGGUCCACCUCACCAGAUGAUACUUCUUUUUAUUGCUAUUCCCCUGCCAGAAAAAGGUUCUUCUAGUUUUAUCAAUCUUCUCAAUGAUAGUUUUAGGGAGCCUAUACAUGGACAUAUGAUAAGUUGGGACACUAUCCAAGCAAGCUUUAAUGAGAAUGGCCCUUCCCCUAGAAGACAGGGAACCCCCCCCCCCCCUCCAAGCAUCAAGUUUUUUGGACACUUUAGCACACAAGAAAUCUCCCCAAUAGAGCAGCCAAACAUGUCAGAAUAAGCCCGAGCAAUGAUGUUGUCCCCACCAAUGAUGUACAACUCACUCUUAAGGAAAUUGAUUUUCAGACCAAACAUAAGUUCAAAGGUAUAAAGCAAGAGUUUCAAGUUAACAACUUUGUCAAAGUCAUGCUCAAAACAAAGAAUUGUAUCAUUUGCAUACUGCAAGAUGGCUAUACCAGGGGGCUCCAGAUGAGAAAUUAACCCAGUAAUCAUAUCAUUAGCCUGAGCCUUAAGAACCAUCCUAGUAAGACAGUCAGCAGCAAAAUUAAACAGGAAAGGAGACAGGGGGUCAUCCUGCCUCACUCCCUUAUAACUUUGGAAAUAAGGUCCAACCAUAUCAUUUAAUUUGACACAAACAGUUCCAUUGCAAAGCACCGGCUUAAUCCAAGAAACCCAAAUGGGACAAAAACCUCUAGCCUGAAUGCAGGAAAUAAGGAAAUCCCAAUCAACCUUGUCAUAUGCUUUUUCAAAGUCAACACUACAAGAAAUCUGGUGGUCCAUGAUGUUUUCUUUAUGACGCACAAGUAUUUUGUCAUAGUUUUAUGACGAUUUUUGUGAAAACGUCAUGAGUUUGUCCAAAGCUGAAUUGCCAUGCGACCCUGUGACGAAAAUGAAAUAUCGUCAUGAGCAAAAACGUCAUGGACUAAAACUAUAUUUUUGCCUCUCUAUGACAUUGUUUGUGACAUGCUAGUUAGACAAAAAAAACCUUGCUGAAAUUACUUUUGUUUCCUCGUUCACAUUUUUAUUUUUGUUUUCCUAUUUGCAGUAAAUUGGCCGUGUUGGGCCGAUAUGGCUGAAAUUAUUUUUCUUUUCUCGUACACGUUUUCCUAUUUGCAGUAAAGCUAAUACGACGUUUUUUUUGGAUGGAGGGAGUAAUAGAUUUGGAAUUGGAAACAUAGUUUCGACGCCGAUUAAUCCUGCCUUCAUUUUCGGCCCAAUAAAUAUCAUCGUCAGAAGAAGUCCCAGGCCAAUCCUGAAACCCCUCGUCCCAACCUCACCGCUGCCUCUCACCCUACCUCACCCACCUCCUCUCAGUCGCCAUGGAUCUCGCAGCCCCAUAAUAGGAGGCCGCAUAAAUCGCUGUCCCGGAGUAGGAAGCAGUGGAUCUCGCCGUCCUGGAGUAGGAGGCCGUGGAUCUCGCUGACCCGAAGCCCUAGAUGUCUACCUCGCUGCCGUCCCGGAGCAGGAGGCGGUGGAUCUCCCGUCCCAGAGCAGGAGGGCUUGGAUCUCGCUGUCUCAGAGAUGGAGGCCGUGGAUCUCGUCGACCCAGAGGCCUAAACGUCUACCUCGCUGCCGUCCUGGUCGUCUACCUCGCCACCAUCCUAGUCGUCUACCUCGUCGUCCACCACACUGCUAGACCGAUGCGGCAACUCAAAGGUGCUAUUGGAUUACUGACCAAAUCCUACUGCUAAUUGAUUCAAAUUGGGAUAUUGGUCGCAAAACUG